Molecule: long non-coding RNA, 50473 nt
Filed under: Triticum aestivum (bread wheat)
Lineage: Eukaryota; Viridiplantae; Streptophyta; Magnoliopsida; Poales; Poaceae
Description: long non-coding RNA (TAES_LNC015663)
Rfam family: MIR1120/MIR1122 microRNA precursor family (bases 9416-9502)
Source: RNAcentral
GGAACAUAAACUCACAUGCUCUACUGUUCACUACAAUGACAAGAGGAAUAAAACAUAAAUUCCCUCCCAUGCUUUACUGCCCAUACAAUUACAUAGCUAAAAUGCACAAUAAGCUUCAACAUAUAAUACACAUAUAAUAUUUGUAAAAGAGGGCAUCCACUAAGAGCCCAACACAACAAUCUGGACAUCACAAACAGCAGCCGUGGUACAAAUAAAUGGUAGCUCCAUAAAGUUAAAUAGCAAAGGCUGCUGCCCGUAUGCUGCUACCAACCAUAAACACAUAGUAUAUGUUUACACAAGACAAGCAGCUAGCACUACUAAGUUAACUAGAACAGUUAGCCCCAUAAAGUUAGGUUACAGAGUACACCCGACAACAAAAGAGAAGUAACACAACAUCAGAAGGAUCUAACCGGAUAGCUGCUGAUAUUACAAGGGACCUAUGAUUCAACAUUAUCUGAAAGGUCGACAAUGGAAUGGCGAUAUGCAAGCCAGACUAUCAGUUCCAAUCUGCCAAUUCCUCCGAGUACAAGGGAACAUAAGGAAAAUAGGGUCCCAUGGAACCAUUUCCAAGAUGGCGGAUGAGCUGCACUUUUCCACUAUCCAUUUCAUAAGACAUGAGUUCUUUGUCAUGCCCAUAAACUAAGAAAAUCAUGUUUCGUUGCGGGAGGUGGGCGAUAAUGUGAAACCUGAUUCCCCGAUGGACAUACUUCACUCCAAGUAGAUCAAAAGGACUAACGCUGUGCUUCAAUACCCACACUUCACUGUCGUAGUCCUCAAGAACCCAGAUCAAUAGUUUGUGACAAUCAUGAUGAUCAAUAUUUGCGAAAUACAAACGCCCUUGAGACAGAUCAGUGAACCCGACAGCAAGAUCUAUUGUAGAGCCAAACAGAUUGCAUGGCAUAGGAAUAACCCUCCAAGUAGUUCCCUCCACAUCCACUGCCACCACCACCGCAGACCAGAUGUCAACCAAAUGCAGAAAACCAUUGCCAGAGGAACUUAUACUCGUUAUCCUAGCCGGUUUUGGACGUGCGAGGAGACGGCCGGGUCGAACCCCAAGCGAGCUGUCUGCAUCUUGCUGAAGAUGCCGGGCAAGGCGACCCAUUUCUCCGUGGCAGGAUUGCACACCACGUAAUAAAAUGCCCCCGCACCAAAGGUCUUGAAGCGGCGGCAGAGGAGUAGGCCGUUGCAGCUGUCCAGAAGGUGGAACUGAUGACAGUCAGGCAGGAAGGGGAGCGAAGGACGGAUAGGAGCACGGCCUCCCGCCGAGACAUGGGUGAAAUUGUCAGUUGAGAAAUAGCCAGUGCUGGGGCCGCGGCUCGAGUAGAGGAAGCCAGCGAGGUCAUGGAGAUGGUACUGCGGCAGCGCCUUGCGGUGGUCGGGGUGGGAGAUGAUGCCGCGCCACCGCUUGGAGACGCACUUGAAGCGGCACAGCGACCUGUACGGCACGCGCGACAGGAUCUCGACGAGGAGGUCUUCGGUGAGCUUGUCCGCCGGAUUCCGCCGCCUGCUAAUGUCCCUGGAUCCGUCCGCCAUCGCCGUGGGGAGAGGAGGCACUCAAUCUGCGAACGGGGGCGGGGGAGGAGAGAUUGCAGAUCCGUCGACAUGGGUGAAGGGAGCAGGAAGGAAGGAAGAGAGGAUCUACGAAGAGUGUGGCGUACGUACCAGACGAGAAGCGAGUGACGGCGAGGAAGCCCGUUUGAGGUGCUCCCGUCCCCGCCGGCGAGGCUUUGGGUGCGCGGCGGCGAGAUGAGGUGAGGUCUGGCGUGGAACUGGAAGACGGGGGAAGUUUUUAUUUUUUAUUUUUUAGGGGAAGUGAAUGAGGAGUAUGCUGUGCUGGGCUUCUGUCUAGGCUGUACAGAGGACUAGAUCAUAUAGGCGCGCUCUGCCGCCGCCGUCCAUCUUUAAAACAGUAACGAUGAUAUUGUCUAAAAAAAUUAGAGUUAUAAUAUGUAAUAAAUACGAAACACUCGAAAGUGAGGAUACAUGAAUGAUUCAUUGUGAGAAAACAAGGGGUGGUUUAUACCUAAAGGUAGGGUAAUAAAGAAUGGAUAUUGCUUCUGUUUCUUUUAAAUUGCGCUUGAAAAUUUGUGUUGUUUUUAUGUCAAGCCUCGUAGUUGUAAAGGCAAUAUACAAAAUUGUCCUCCUUAAGCAUUUUAACCAUCGUUGAAUCUUUGAAUUGUUGCACACCUAACCUCACCACGUAAGCCAAAAAUAAAUGUGCAAAUGAUGUAUAUUUUUAUUUUUUAUACUUCUUAAAAGUUAUGAAAUAAAUAAAAAUCACAUAUAAAUUAAAUUAAAGUAGGGGAGCUAAGUUCUUGGAGAUCGGUUAAAAAUGAGAUAAAUAACUUACUCCAUCUCCUUUCUCAAAAUUGGAAAUAGAAGUGCCCAUUAACAAGUGAAGAAUGGGUAAGUUCUAAAAAAUUAUGUUCUAUAAUGCUAUAUAUGAUACCAUGCUACGAAUAAUAUAUAUACCUAAAUCACAAAUUUUCUCUAUCAAUUCAAGGUCAGCAAUAAUGAUAUAUCUAUAUGGUUCGGGGAGUCCAAAUAAUCUAAAUUUUCAUGAAAUAACUAAAUAUGGCCAAUGAGGGGGAUGUGUUCUGAUCACUCGAUUUCAACCAACUACCAAUUGCACAUGAGGUAUAGCUCCAAAUCAUGGAUAAGACACAAGGUCUAACCAGUAGUACUCAAUUGUCACUAAUCCACCUGUUAUCAAUUGUGAAAACUCUAGGUACCCCCAAUUUUUAUAUUACUCGAGCACAACUGACGUCAAAAUAUACGCAAGAUCCUCAAAUUCUUUCCUGGAAAAUAAAUAAACGUGAAGCAGAUGCACACGACAAUGGGAAUAUGAUCGUGCUCACAUAUAGAUCAUCAGCAGAGCAACAAUUUUAGUCCUUAUCUACUCCUUACUUGUAUCAUGUUGCCAAAACUUCCUACACUGAAAGGUGAGAAGGCGUCCAGCCGCCAUCCCGUGCGCCGUCGCUGGCCGUGGGAUCUCUCAACCAUGGUUGCUCGCUAGGGUAGGAUUCAGUGACAGAGUCUGGAAGAAUGACAUGCAGCAAAUUAUGUUGGUCAGAUUGCGUUAAUAUCUGGAGAGAGAGAGAGAGAGAGAGAGAGAAGAGGGAACCUGAAUGGCUGAAUCAGUCAGAGGUGAAGCCAAUAGAACAUGGCGGGCAACUCUGGAACAAGCAUGUCAGUCACUGGGGACGCAGAUCGAGCGCCCUGUCCCGGUCUAGGCGAGGUCGUCGUGGAGGCGAAGGAGGCGACGCGCCCCUCCAUGUCGUGUAAAUCUUGAACGGUCUGUCGCCAGAGAAGCAAACCCUCGGCGGGCCACUAAGCAAAGAAGUGAUAAUGGGCCGUCCAAACCGUGUGAGUGGGCGCCCCUCCCACUUGGAAAAGGCCCGCUCAACCACAGGCCACCUAGACCGGUUUCCGGAGCAGCGGCCCGAGCGGGGUUCGUUCAUGCCCGAAAGUGCCUCAGCGACGAUGCGGGACGACUGUGAAAGAUCUGAGACGUUCAACUACGUGAUCGGACGGUAAAGAGCCCCAAGUCGCUGUGAGGCAUCGUAGGUGGCUCAGUUUUACUGUUUCUCAAUAGCGGUGUGUCCAGUUUUCACUUUCAGCCUGCACUGCAGCUGUUCUAAGAGCAUCUAUUAUAUAUAAAAAGUAUUUGAUGGGAUCACUAGUUGCUUAAAAAAAGUUAUUUACUUGGCGUGUAGGUGUCUAAGCAGAAAGAGGCGGAUGCAAAACUUUUUCCCUCUUGCUAGGGUUUUGGCUUCCUCUCGCCGCCACAGGCGACGUUGAGAAACUCUGUCCUUCACUGCCGCUCCCCUGAGCUCGGGCUGACUACGGGGCAGUCUAGCACUGCUUCCCGGCCUUGGUGGGAGGCUAGGCGUGGCUGGAGGUGUUUAGGGUUUUGGCUGUGUUGGCGGCGUCGAACCUGUGAGAUCGGAUCUGAUGUUCCUGAAGAUGGCGAAGCAAGGCACUCCGGUCGUGUCCGGUAGCAAGGGGAAGGGGAAGCUCGAGGACCUCAUGGAGGAACUCGCCCUGAAAGAAGAUGACCUAGAUGAUGUCGUCUUCGAGGAGGAGGAGGCGCCACCAGAGGAGGAUCUCAGAUGGAUGACCCUGGUUCGUGUUCACAUCGACAAAACUUUCAGCACUUAUUGGUUCUUCCGCAACAUGCGGUCAGCACGGGAUCUAGCAAGAAGGGUCAAGAUCAAAACCCUAGCGGAGAACUUGGUCAUCAUGUAUAGUUUGAGUGCCUAGGGGAUUGGGAAAGAGUGAUCAUCUAAACCCACAUCAAUUGAGCUUUUUUAAAUUUGAGAUUUGGGCGAGAAUCCUUGACCUACCCAUUGCUUACCACGGAAAGGUCAAGUCCUUGGCAGCAAAGAUCGACAAUUUUGUGGAGUCAGAGCCGUCAUCUUUUGACUUUGAAGGUAAUUUCUAUAGAGUGAGAAUUUGCCUGGAUGUUCGUAAGCAGCUGAAGAAAGCGAUUUCUAUCGUCCGUGGUGGUCAGCGAGAAAUUUUUGCGGUGAAAUAUGAGCGACUCCCCGAUUGGUGUCAGGUGUGUGGUAUGAUGGGCCACGAAUUCAAGGAACAUGGUGAUGGUGUGCACCCUCCCUCCGCCCUGGUUUUCAAGAACCUGAGGGCACCUACUACUACGGCAUGGGGCUCUAGACGCUGCAACUAUGGGCAAAGAACUAGGGGUAAAGAGGGAGGAGGCAAAAACACAGGAUGAUGAGAAGGAGGGUGAGGAUACUGAGAUGGAGGAGAAUGAUGCAAGCCGCAAAAGGACAUCUGAAGAGGUAGUGGGUCGGCUCACACCCGCAGCGGCUAGUUCAAGCCUGGAUAUUGUCCCUAUGGAGAAAACCAAUGGUGGUGUUGCAAGUCUACCCCUUAGCCCACCACCGAAACAAGACCCAAAACAUUCAAGACUCUCACGACAAACAGAGAAGGUGUUGAACUGGAGUGGGAGGAAGAACUCGACGGUCUUAAAGAAUCCUAAUGCUAAAGCGGCGGCCUCCCCGGUGGAGGGCCGCCGAGCACAAUGAGUUGCCUAAGCUAGAACUGCCAGGGACGAGGCAACACCCCGACAGUUCAAGAGCUACGAGAAAUCGUUCUAAAGUUUGCCCCUAUAGUACUUUGUAUUGUUGAAACACAGAUUGGCCAAGAUAGAGCUAAAAGUUUGGCAAGUACUUUAGGUUUUGAUUCUUAUUUUGCGGAACCCUUCCACCGAUAGGAGCGGUGAUUUAGCUUUGUAUUGGAAUAACGAAAUAAAGAUUGAGAUUUUGGGCUAUUCGCAGUAUCAUAUUGAUGCAAAGAUCUCAGACAUGGGAGGAGAUCCUUGGAGGCUCUCAUGUUUCUACGGAGAGGCACAAACACACCUCCGUUAUAGAACUUGGGACACGAUGAAAAACCUGGCAGCCCGCCAAAACAUGUCGUGGAUGUGUAUUGGGGACUUCAACGAGGUUCUCUGCUAUGAUGAGAACGAGGGAAUUGGCCAGAGAAGUCAAACCCAGAUUCAAGGUUUUCGUGAUGCAGUUGAUGUGUGCGGUUUAAUUGAUCUCGGCUACCAUGGUCAUAAGUGGACGUUUGAAAAGAAGGUGACUGGUGGAUCAUAUACAAGAGUCAGGCUCGACAGGGCUUUGGGAACGCCCGAGUGGUGUGCUUGGUUCCCCCUAGCAGCGGUGGAACAUCUCAUAGUUGCGACUUCUGAUCACUCUCAUAUCAGUCUAAGGCUGGAUCCACCGGAUAGAAGAAAGCAUGGAAAAAUACAGUUUCGAUACAAGUGCAUGUGGGACACGCAUCCCAAGCUAAUCCCCAUGGUCCAGCAUGCAUGGGAGGCGAACGGUCCUAAACUAACGGCAGCGAAAGUCCGAGCAAACUUACAAUCCUUCUCUAAUAAUUUGGCGAGUGGAGUAAGUCAACUUUUGGGAGUGUAAAGUCAGAGAUAAGGAGGUUGAAGAAAGACUUGGAGCGGCUCAGGAGUGAUCCGGCGAGGACUGCACCGAGCCAUGUUGAGAUUAAAACAAAUGAUCGAUUGAUCGAACUAUAUCUUCGGGAAGAAAUAAUGUGGCGCCAACGAUCAAGGGUGGCAUGGUUGUCAGAGGGGAUAGGAAUACACACUUUUCCACCUCCGAGCUUCAAACAGGCGACGCAAAAAAUUGAUAAAAUCAUUGCAGAAGCAAGAUGGGCAGCUAACAGACGAUUUAUCAGAGAUGCAGAAGUUGGCACUUGAUUUCUAUAAAGCCUUAUACACCUCGGAAGGGGUGGAGGGGUUAGAUGACGUGCUUCAACAUGUCCCCUCAAAGCUGACAGCAGUGAUGAAUGAGACUCUCAUGGCGCCGUACAAGGAGGAAGAAGUUAAGAAGGCGCUUUUUUAGAUGUUCCCUACUAAGGCCCCGGGGCCGGACGGGUUCCCUGCGCACUUUUUCCAGAGGCACUAGGACAUUUGUGGUGCUGUGGUCACACGUGUUGUUCUGGGAGUAUAGUCCGAGGAGAAGAAAGUCUGGAGUGUGUGAAUGACACUGUUUUGGUGUUAAUCCCUAAGGUAUCAAAACCAACUCUUUUAUCUCAAUUUUGACCGAUCAAUUUAUGCAAUGUCUUUUACAAGAUAGCUUCAAAGGUUCUAGCUAAUCGAUUGAAGGUAAUACUUUCUGAAGUUAUUUCUGAAGAGCAGUCAACAUUUGUGCCUGGUAGGCUUAUAACUGAUAACAUAAUCUCAGCGUAUGAGUGUUUGCACUUUAUGAAGAGGAAUAAGUCAAAGAACAAUAACUACUGCGCUCUAAAACUCGAUAUGAUGAAGGCAUAUGAUCGAGUGGAGUGGAACUAUUUGGAAGCUAUCAUGAGGAAACUGGGUUUUGCAGCACCAUGGGUCUCCAUUGUCAUGAACAUGGUCAGAACAGUUUCUUUUUCAGUUUUGUUUAAUGGGAGUAAAUUGGAAGAAUUUUCACCAUCCAGAGGUAUUCGUCGGGGAGACCCCAUCUCUCCAUACCUUUUAUUAUUGGCAGCAGAGGGCCUUUCGUGCCUGUUAAAAUCUCAGAAGGGAUCAUCCCAGCUCAGCGGCAUCAAGGUGGCCCCAUCGGCUCCAUCGGUGAACCACCUUUUAUUUGCAGAUGAUAGCUUGCUAUUCUUCAAGGCGAGCGUGAAUGGAGCAGAAGAAGUGUCACACCUUUUGGAUACUUAUUGUAUGGCCUCGGGUCAACAGAUUAUCAACGAAAAAUCAACUAUUUACUUCAGUAAAGGAUGCCCAUAGAUUGUGAGAGAUGCAGUGAAGGGGUGUCUCCAGGUACCUAAUGAGUCCUUAAGCGACAGAUAUCUUGGAAUGCCCACGGAUGUUGGACACUCAAAAAAAGCACCUUCAAACACUUGAGCGAUCGCGUGUGGGACAAGGUGAAAGGAUGGAUGGGCAAGUGUCUGUCUGCCGGGGGCAAGGAGGUAUUAAGGUUGCACAAGCUAUUCCGGUUUAUUCCAUGUCAUGUUUCAAACUCCCCAAAGGUUUAUGUUAACAUAUAAAUUCCAUCAUCCGUAAAUUUUGGUGGGGAUGCAAGGAGGGGCAAUGGAAACCGUCUUGGGUAUCAUGGGAGAUAGUGACGAGGCAUAAGUAUUUGGGAGGACUAGGUUUCAGAGACCUGGAACUCUUUAACCUAGCAUUGUUAGCUAGACAGGCUUGGAGGGUGCUGCAGGAUCCAUCAUCAUUGAGUGCGAGGAUACUCAAGGCAUCUUACUUCCCAAACACGGAGUUUCUUAUGGCAGAGUUGGGCUCACGUCCAUCACAGAUUUGACGAGCUAUCCUAGAGGGGCGAGACAUCCUAAAAUAGGGCAUAAUUCGAAGGAUCGGCAAUGGACAGACGACGAGGGUCUGGGAUCAUAAUUGGAUAUCCAAGGAGGGAUCUUUGCGGCCGAUUGUGUCUCUGGCCCAAGACCCGCCUCAGUUUGUUUCCGAGCUACUUCUUCCAGCAACAUGUUCUUGGAAUGACAACCUAGUUCGAGCGUUGUUCUUGCCAACUGACGCAAAGGCGAUUUUGAGGAUCCCUGAUGCACUAGCAAUAUAGAGGACUUUUGGGCAUGGAAUCCGGAGAAGACGGGACCAUUUUCGGUGAGCUCAACUUACAAGUUUAUGGUCAAAACUAAAAUCACUUGAGAAAACUUGCUGGAAGGCAGGAGCGGGUCCUCGAGCAAUGACAGAGAGGAGCGAGACUGGUCCUCACUUUGGUCGCUGACAGUGCCAUCAAAGGUCAGAGUUUUCUUGUGGUGCCUAGCCCGCCACUCUCUCCCAACUACUGAUGUUUUGAACAGAAGGAACAUGGCAACAUGCGAUGCUUGCCCGCUAUGUGGCACUCCUAAUUCAUGGCGUCACGCUUUGGUGUCAUGCACGUCGGCCCGCUGCACUUGGGCAUUAUCUGACCCGGGUCUGGUUGCGCAAAUGGCGAAGAGUGAGAGAACACCGCCAAGAAUUGGCUGUUUCGGCUGAAUGAUGUGCUUGAUCAUAAGUCUUUCACAAUGAUGGUGGUGACUCUUUGGGCGAUAUGGUACGCCAGAAGGAAGGCGAUCCACGAGGGCAUUUUUCAAUCCCCGAUGCACACUUCAUCGUUUGUGACCUCUUAUAUAACAAGCUGCAGCAACUGGAGAAGCCUAAUGAGCGCCAUGUACAAGUAGCAUCACCGUGGGGAGGGCCAAGGAGUUGGCUAGCCUCACCUAUGGGGUUCGCGAAAAUCAAUGUUGAUGGAGCUGUGGGGCGUCAUAGACGUGGCAGGGCAGUUUCAACGGUGUGUCGAGACCACACGGGAUUAUACUUGGGCUCAUCGGCGGUAGUUUACCGUGGCAUCACUGACCCCACAACCCUGGAGACUUUUGCGUGCAGGGAGGCUCUAGCUCUUGCAGAGGAUCUUCAGGUGACAAACAUGGUGAUUGCCUCGGAUUGCAAAGGAGUGGUUCAAGAUAUCAAUGAAGGAACAGGAGGUCCGCAUUCGGCUAUAGUACAUGAAAUAACGCACCGGAGAAGCAAUUUCGAUUCAGUUGUUUUUGUCUUUGAGCACAGAAACCAGAACUUCGAGUCUCAUAAUCUCGCCAAGUUCGCUUGUAACUUAGGGGUCGGCAUGUUUGGCUGGGCGUCCCCCAUGACCAGCUUCGUGUACCUAUGAACAUUGCUAUUAUAUAAUAAAGUGGUGUGAGAUUUCUCAAAAAAAAAAUUGGCGUGUAGGUCGCUGAAAUCACCGGUUAAGAUUUAUCCUUGUAGAGGUCAUUCCUCAUCUAUCUUCUCAGGUGCCCACGUAUUGUAUGUGCACCACCUGUCGUUACCUAGGAGUUUUAUUUUUUUCCGUUAAUUUUUUUAUUCAAAAUAUUUUAUCUCUUAAAUCAUGCGUGCAAAUACUGAACUGUUCUAGCCGUUGAAUUUCUUGUGUCAAGUUCUUCAAAAUUACUCCCUCUGUCCCACAAUAUAAGAGCGUUUUUGACACUAAUGUAGUGUAAAAAAUGCUCUUAUAUUAUAGGAUAGAGGGAGUAGAUAUCAUGUUAAUAGUUUUUGAUUAACUUUUUUUUUCAAAAAAUAAUAAUUUUAAAAAGAAAAAAAGACCUGAAGGCCAGAACCAUGGUUGGGGUUUUCAACAUUUUUUGGCGCGGACUAUACUUUUCUCUUUUUCCAUGAAGCACAUACUAUAUUUUUCAUUUUUAAAGUUGAAGCACAAUUGUAUUUAUCUUAGAGCAUCUCCACCACCCGCGUCCCCAAUAGGCCCCCUAGGGAGACUUUUUUCGCGCCGGCGGCGAAAAAAACCCCCAGUCGCGCCCCUAAGAUGCCGAAAUCCGCCGGCUCGGCCCGUUUUUGGGCCCGGCGAUCCAAGGACGAACCUAGCGCACUGGGGGUGCUCGGGGCUCCGGCGGAAGAAAAAAUCACGUCUGGUCCACACUGUCAGGCGAACAGUCAAGACAAAACGUCUAGAUUCCCCCCCCCUCGCGCGCGACUCCCACCACCUUGUCGAUCCCGGCGACGCCCGCCGCCCAGCACCGCUAGAUAGGUCAUUCCUCGCCGGAAAAGAGAGAGGGUUUCGUCACGGCAACCGCUCCACCACCUUCUUGGGCGAGGUUUCCGAUGCUCCGACCGCGCAGGGCGGGAUACCGACGCUGUGUGACCACCACGCCCGCCAGGUGUUCGGUGAUUUGUCUGCUCGACGAUGGACUCGGACAAUGAGGAGGCACUCUUGACUCUGCUGGAGGAGGAAGCCGAUGCCGACAUCCAGGACGAAGAGCAUCUCAUGGUCCUCGUCACUAUGGCCGGCCUACUCAUGAGCAAUGCAAAGCCGUGGGGAGAUGGCUCAGCGCCGGGGCGGCUGAAAGCAAAGAACAGACAUCGACUGGAAGGCUAUUGCAUGCUCUACUCUGACUACUUCGCUGAUGCUCUACUGCACGGCGACAAAGUAUUUUGGCACCAUUAUCGGAUGAGCCAAAAGCUUUUCCUCGAGAUUGUGAAUUCCAUCCGGGAGUUCGACAGCUACUUCAAGUGCAAGAAGGAUUGCACCGGCAAACUUGGAUUCACCUCAAUCCAGAAGUGCAUGACAGCUGUCGUGGUAUUUCCUCGACAUAUGCCAACGGGUGGCUAAUCAUGUAGGGGGUCAAUAGAACAUUGUCGGGCUCUAUAAGCGGGAGUAGGCAAGACCGCAAACGACGCCGGGUCUAACACAGGUUCGGGGCUCUCCGUGGAGAUAACACCCCUAGUCCUGCUCUGCGGGGUCUCUGCAUCACUAUGAUCAAUAGUAAGUACAAGGAUGCUCAUUGAGCUGUUCGGGCUAGAGGAGGAAGAAGGCUACUUGCACUACUUCUCCUUAGCUAUGGGUGUGUGUAUGUGAUCUAAAGAGGUUGAACACUUUGCAUGGGUGACCCUGGGGGGGUUUAUAUAGGCCUACCCCCAGGGGUACAAUGGUAAUCCGGCUGGUCCUGGGACCCGGCCGUCAGUGUCUCUGGGCUCCGGCUUCUCUGUCGGCUGCUGGUGCCCGCUACCUGGUGGGUCCCGCCUGCUGCUGUAAGCUCGGCCGACAGGUAGGGCCUGUCGCCUGCGGACCAGGGGGACCAAGCUACGUUGUAGCCCUGCCCCUGAUGACGAUGGCUUGGUCGGGGGCGCAUGGCUACAGUAUCACCGCCUGGCGGGCGAUCACUGUAGCCACACCCCGUCACCUCUGGUUAAUUGGGAACAGACUCCAAUGGGAGGGGUUGCCGCCUGCUAGGAGUCAGCCUCCCCUUGAGCCCGCCUGCUCUGGCCUUAACAUCUUUUGGGAUAAGCGGGCUGGUGGGGCUAGCCGCCUGCGGGCCGCACUGACCACCCGUCGUGGGGGCAUGGCUCCGCCUAACGUAGGCAUCGUCAUGGGCCACAUGGCUACAGUGUCAUGCCAGGCGAAGGGUGUCCGCCUGGUACGUCUGCACCGUAGCCACGUUCCUUCCGGGAUUCGUUGGUGGCAGGUGGCACUGUUGCCAUGCCCGGUCUUGUCGUAGCAGGUGGGUGUAGACUUUGAGGCGGCGAUGGGCCGCCUGCCCAGAGUCGGCCCAUACCCUCGCCGCCUUUUGAGGUGCGCCGCCUUCUAGGAGGCGGCCGGUUGGCUCCAGCUGGCCAUAGAGGCCGGCCUUGCGGCCGGUCGGACUGAGGGGCUAGGCUAGCCCCGAUGUCUUGAAAUCUGCUGAGGUGCAGAUGAGGCUACCCGGGGUCUAACCCCCAUCAGUAGUCCCCAAAGCUGGUGAGGUUCUACGGCUUGGGCAGCUGGGGAGCCUCGGUAGUUUCCCUCUUUGAGUGGCCUUCCGCCUUCCGCUCCGUCCGCCUGGGAGGAGCCGGGUGCCAGGAGUCGGACGCAGUCGCGGCCGCCUGGCGGAAUUUGAAGAGUCAUGGUGGGGACCAGGUGGCGUGUCGGCUUGGCGACAGGAUCGCCUCCCGCUACCCGCCCGCCACGCGGCGCCUGGCAGCCAGGUUGGCCUGCAAGCCCACACGCGCGAUGGGACGUUGCCGCAGGCCUAUGCCCGCCACUACAGGGCCUCAACACGCGCGCGGAUCCACUACGGCCGGGGUGGACGGUUGCUCUUCCAGGGCGGUUUAAUACACGCCUUUAAGGCGUAGAAAACAUGGGGUCAUGGGGGGGAGUGGGCGUAGUUAAUCCCACAUUCCCCCAUGCCUCGCCCCCUCGGCUCCACCGCCGCGAGGCUAUAAGUAGGGGGGAGGGGCAGCUGAAUGCACGCGCGCCCUCCUCUCCCUCUACCUUGCUGCCUUGCGCCUUCUUCCUCGCUGCCGCUGCACAUUCUUCCCUCACCGGAGUGCUGUUGCGGUUCGUCGUCGCUGGCCCUUCCUUCGUCGCUGCCACCUCGCCCCACUGCUGAGCACGAAGCUCAUGGCGCUCAGCGGCUGCGCCGGCGACUGGGACGGCUCCACCGUCCAUGAGGAUCAUAUCCAGUUCCUGCGCAAGACGCGGCGUCUUCCUCAUCACGCCGACAUCAAGGUGCGUCUACCCCUGCCUGGGAGAUCUCUCUGGCACCGAAGGACGACGAGUACGUCGUCUUUCGGGCGCACUUUCUUCGCGGCUUCGGCCUCCCGGCGAGCGGGUUCCUCCGCUCCCUAAUGGACUUCUACGGAGUGCAGCCCCACCACCUCACGCCGAACACAGUGGUGGUGCUCUCCACCUUCGUCACGUUUGGCGAAGGCUACCUCGGCACUCUGCCCACACUCGAGCUGUGGGCAGAGCGCUUCUACCUCAAGCUCGGCACCACCACCAAGGGCGAGGCGGCACAUUGCAUAGCCCACAUCACGGUGCAGCGCUCCAGGACCAGGGGCGGGCCUCGCUUCCCGACUAUCGCCCUGCUGCAGUCGGCAAAACUGUGGCAGUGGUCAUAUUUCUACGUCGAGAACCUCAAUCUGGAGUGGAACUACGUCAACUUGCCGGCUUAUGUAGCUGGCCCGGCUGCCGAGCCCCGUGCCAACUAGAGUUUCCGGCUGAAGAGUCUGUCGAUCCCCUCCGCCAACGCCCUCGCCCGACUUCAGGUGAUGAUCGACUCGGAGCGUCUCAGGCCCUCCGACUUGCUGGCCCCCUUCGUAGAGAGCCGGGUGCUGCCCCUCCAAGGUCGUCCCCACAUCAUCAGCGCCCUGAGUGGGCACCGGGAUUCGUGCCGGAUGUCCACCAAGGAGAUUCCGGUCUCGGAGAUCGUCCGGCUAGUGAACCACAUCUCCGACUGCAAGCUGUCAGAGUCGGAGUGGCAAUUCGGCAAGCCGCCAUACAGCCGGGUGCUACGUCUUGAGCUUGCGUUGGUUUUCCUUGAAGAGGAAAGGGUGAUGCAGCAAUAGUAGCGUAAGUAUUUCCCUCAGUUUUUGAGAACCAAGGUAUCAAUCCAGUAGGAGGCUCCUCAAAACUCCCACGCACCUACACAAACAAACAAGAACUCACAACCAACACAAUAAAGGGGUUGUCAAUCCCUUCACGGCCACUUGCGAAAGUGAGAUUUGAUAGAGAUAAUAUGAUAAGAUAAAUAUAUUUUUGGUAUUUUAUAAUAUAGAUUGGAAAAGUAAAGAUGCAAAUAAAAGUAGAUUGAAAGCUUAUAUGAUAAAAGAUAGACCCGGGGGCCAUAGGUUUCACUAGUGGCUUCUCUCAAGAUCGCAUAAUUAUUACGCUGGGUGAACAAAUUACUGUUGAGCAAUUGAUAGAAAAGCAAAUAAUUAUGAGAUUAUCUAAGCAUGAUCAUGUAUAUAGGCAUCACGUCCGUGACAAGUAGACCGACUCCUGCCUGCAUCUACUACUAUUACUCCACACAUCGACCGCUAUCCAGCAUGCAUCUAGAGUAUUAAGUUCAUAAAGAAUAGAGUAACGCAUUAAGAAAGAUGACAUGAUGUAGAGGGAUAAACUCAUGCAAUAUGAUAUAAACCCCAUCUUUUUAUCCUCGAUGGCAACAAUACAAUACGUGCCUUGCUGCCCCUGCUGUCACUUGAAAAGGACACCGCAAGAUUGAAGCCAAAGCUAAGCACUUCUCCCAUUGCAAGAAAGAUCAAUCUAGUAGGCCAAACCAAACUGAUAAUUCAAAGAGACUUGCAAAGAUAACUUAAUCACACAUAAAAGAAUUCAGAGGAGAUUAAAAUAUUUCUCAUAGAUAAACUUGAUCAUAAACCCACAAUUCAUCGGAUCUCAACAAACACACCGCAAAAAGAGUUACAUCGAAUAGAUCUCCAAGAAGAUCAAGGAGAACAUGGUAUUGAGAUCCAAAGAGAGAGAAGAAACCAUCUAGCUAAUAACUAUGGACCCGAAGGUCUGUGGUAAAAUACUCACAACUCAUCGGAGAGGCCUUGAAGAUGAUGUAAGGCCCUCCGUGAUCGAUUCCCCCUCCGGUGGAGCGCCGGCAAAGGCUCCAAGAUGGGAUCUCGCGGAUACAGAAGGUUGCGAUGGUGGAAUUAGGUUUUCGUGGUCUGUUAUGAUGUUCUUGGGGUACGUGUGUAUAUAUAGGAGGAAGAUGUAGGUCGGUGGAUGCCCGUGGGGCCCACGAGAUAGGGGGCACGCCCAGUGGGGGGCACCCUCCACCCUCGUGGCCGCCUCGGCUGUUGCUUGACUUCCACUCCAAGUCCUCUGGAUCACGUUCGUUCCAAAAAUCACGCUCUCGAAGGUUUCAUUCCGUUUGGACUGUGUUUGAUAUUCCUUUUCUUCGAAACACUGAAAUAGGCAAAAAAACAGCAAUACAGGCUGGGCCUCCGGUUAGUAGGUUAGUCCCAAAAAUGAUAUAAAAGUUUAAAGUAAAGCCCAUAAACAUCCAAAACGGGUAAUAUAAUAGCAUGGAACAAUCAAAAAAUAUAGAUACAUUGGAGACGUAUCAAGCAUCCCCGAGCUUAAUUCCCGCUCAUCCUCGAGUAGGUAAAUGAUAAAAACAGAAUUUUUGAUGUGGAAUGCUACCUAGCAUAUUUCUCAAUGUAAUUUUUUUAUUGUGGCAUGAAUGUUCAGAUCCAAAUGAUUCAAAAUAAAAGUUCAUAUUGACAUAAGAAAUAGUAAUACUUCAAGCAUACUUAAUCAAGCAAUCAUGUCUUCUCAAAAUAACAUGGCCAAAGAAAGUUAUCCCCACAAAAUCAUAUAGUCUGGCUAUUGCUCUAUCUUCAUCACACAAAGUAUUUAAUCAUGCACAACCCUGGUUACAAGCCAAGCAAUUGUUUCAUACUUUAGUAAUCUCAAACUUUUUCAACUUUGACACAAUACAUGAGCGUGAGCCAUGGACAUAGCACUUUAUGUGGAAUAGAAUGGUGGUUGUGGAGAAGACAAAAAAGGAGGAAGAUAGUCUCACAUCAACUAGGCGUAUCAACGGGCUAUGGAGAUGCCCAUUAAUAGAUAUCAAUGUGAGUGAGUAGGGAUUGCCAUGCAACGGAUGCACUAGAGCUAUAAAUGUAUGAAAGCUCAACAAAAGAAACUAAGUGGGUGUGCAUCCAACUCGCUUGCUCACGAAGACCUAGGGCAUUUUGUGGAAGCCCAUCAUUGGAAUAUACAAUCCAAGUUUUAUAAUGAAAAUUCCCACUAGUAAAUGAAAGUGACAACAUAAGAGACUCUCUAUCAUGAAGAUCAUGGUGCUACUUUGAAGCACAAGUGUGGUAAAAAGGAUAGUAGCAUUGUCCCUUCUCUCUUUUUCUCUCAUUUUUUGUUUGGCCUUUAUUUUUUUAAGUCUGAAGUCUCAUCCCGACUUGUGGGGGAAUCAUAAUCUCCAUCAUCCUUUCUUUACUGGGACAAUGCUCUAAUAAUGAAGAUCAUCACACUUUUAUUUACUUACAACUCAAGAUUACAACUCAAUACUUAGAACAAGAUAUGACUCUAUAUGAAUGCCUCCGGUGGUCGGGAUAUGCAAUGAAUCAAGAGUGACAUGUAUGAAAAUUAUGAAGGUGUCCUUGCCACAAAUACGAUGUCAACUACAUGAUCAUGCAAAGAGCAAUAUGACAAUAAUGAUGCGUCUCAUAUAAACGGAACAGUGGAAAGUUGCAUGGCAAUAUAUCUCGGAAUGGCUAUGGAAAUGCCAUAAUAGGUAGGUAUGGUGGCUGUUUUGAGGAAGGUAUAUGGUAGGUGUAUGGUACCGGCGAAAGUUGUGCGGCACAAGAGAGGCUAGCAAUGGUGGAAGGGUGAGAGUGCGUAUAAUCCAUGGACUCAACAUUAUUUAUAAAGAACUCAUGUACUUAUUGCAAAAAUCUACAAGUCAUCAAAAACAAAGUACUACGCGCAUGCUCCUAGGGGGAUAGAUUGGUAGGAAAAGACCAUCGCUCGUCCUCGACCGCCACUCAUAAGGAAGACAAUCAAUAAAUAAAAUUGUGCUCCAACUUCAUCACAAAGCGGUUCACCAUACGUGCAUUCUACGGGAAUCACAAACUUCAACACAAGUAUUCUUUAAAUUCAUAAUCACCCAACUAGCAUGACUUUAAUAUUACCACCUCUACAUUUCAAAACAAUUAUCAAGUAUCAAAUUGAUCAUAGCAUCCAAUUCACUUCCUAUGAUAGUUUUUAUUAUACCCAACUUGGAUGCGCAUCAUUCUAGGACCAAUUUUAUAACCAAAGCAAAUACCAUGCUGUCCUAAGAUACUCUCAAAAUAAUAUAAGUGAAUCAUGAGAGAUCAACAAUUUCUUCAAAAUUAAGCCACCAUCGUGCUCUAAAAGAUAUAAGUGAAGCACUAGAGCAAAAACUAUCAAGCUCAAAAGAUAUAAGUGAAGCACAUAGCGUAUUCUAAUAAAUUCUAAUCAAGUGGGCUUCUCCCAAAAGGUGUGUACAUCAAGGAUUAUUGUGGUAAACUAAAAAGCAAAGACUAAUAUCAUACAAGACGCUCCAAGCAAAACACAUAUCAUGUGGCGAAUAAAAAUAUAGCUCCAAGUAAAGUUAUCGAUAAACAAAGAAGAAAGAGGGGAUGCCUUCCGGGGCAUCCCCAAAAUUAGGCUUUUGGCUAUUCUUGAAUAUCUUGGGCUGCCAUGGGCAUCCCCAAGCUUAGGCUCUUGCCACUCCUUAUUCCAUAGUCCAUCAAAUCUUUACCCAAAACUUGAAAACUUCACAACACAAAACUCAACAGGAAAUCUCAUAAGCUCCGUUAGUGAAAGAAAGAAAACCCACCACAUACGGUACUGUAAUGAACUCAUUAUUUAUUUAUAUUGGUGUUAAACCUACUGUAUUCCAAGUUCUCUAUGGUUCAUACCACUUAAUACUAGCCAUAGAUGCAUCAAAAUAAGCAAACAACACACGAAAAACAGAAUCUGUCAAAAACAGAACAGUCUGGAGCAAUCUGUAACUCCCAAAUACUUAUGGAACACUAAAAAUCCUACCAAAAUAGGAAGGCCUGGGAAAUAUUUCUGUUGAUCUACAGCAAAACGAAUCAACGCACAAUCACGUUUAUGUGAAUUACUAAAAUUAUUUUCGUGCGUGCAAAGUUUCUGUUUUUCAGCAGAAUCAAAUUAACUAUCACCAUAGGUUAUCCUACAGGUUCUACUUGGCACAAACACUAAUUAAAACAUAAAAACACAUCUAACCAGAAGGUAGAUGCAAAAUUUAUUACUAAACAGAAGCAAAAACAAAAAACAUAAAUAAAAUUGGGUUGCCUCCCAACUAGCGCUAUCGUUUAACGCCCCUAGCUAGGCAUAAAAGCGAGGAUAGAUCUAAGUAGUGCCAUAAUAAUAAGAUAGAUCACGAAAACUCAUCUCAUAUUCUCUAUGUUCAGAAGCAAGUUUUCUUUGAGGCAAACAAAAGUAAUCAAAAGGGCUAAAUUUAAUGGGACAAAAGUUCCCAAGAUCAAUCUCAAGAGGUAUGGGUUCCUCCUUUGGCCCUUCAUAUUGCACAACUAAUUCAUCAUUAUAAGCAUUCUUUUGGCAGAAAUUAGUAAGACUAUACUCAAGAGAGUAUCCUAGCUCAUUGUUUCGAAGAGCAAAAUCAUUAUUAAGUUCGGAAAUUCUAUCAACUAGGACAUUGGUAGGAACCUUUUUUCUAAGGUUUUCAUUAAGAGCAACAUAGUCCAAAGAUUGAAAACGCCUAAUUUCCUCUUGAUCAAAGAGGAUCGCUUCUAUGGGAGGACGGCCGGUGUCCACCCUAUUGUGUGCAAAGAUUUCUUUGGCCUCUCUUAUUAUAAAUCUAAACUCAUGAGACAAAAAGAUAGUAGCGGCGCGCUUAACAGAAGAAUGCUCAAUAUUAGAAAAUUCCAGGAAAAUUCUUUAUAUGCAAGGAUACAUAUACAUAAAUUGUCUUUCAAGCUCAAUUAUAAGCAUAGCGAUAGCAUCCGCAAGACUACUAGUUCUAUGAAGAAUAGAACCGCCCAUAGAGGGUAAAGCACCGGCACAAGUAAAGAAAUCUUGAAUAACCCCUUUUCCAAUAAUAUUACCACUACCGAUUUGAAACUUUUUAGUAUGCAAGAUAGGGGGUUCUUCAGCAGGAGCAUCAGAACUUUCCAUGUUAUCAUUAUUGUCCAUAUCGAUGAUACUCUCCCCAAUUUCAGACAUAAUGGCAAACAAAAGCGAGGAGGAAAAAGAGGGAAAGCGGAAAAGAGCGGAGAUUUGGAAAGAUAGGGCGAAUAAAACGGCAAGGGUGAAGUGGGGGAGAGGAAAACGAGAGGCAAAUGGAAAAUAAUGUAAAUGCGAGGGAGAUGAGUUUAUGAUGGGUACUUGGUAUGUCUUGACUUGAGAGAAGACCUCCCCGGCAACGGCGCCAAAAAUCCUUCUUGCUACGUCUUGAGCUUGCGUUGGUUUUCCUUGAAGAGGAAAGGGUGAUGCAGCAAUAGUAGCGUAAGUAUUUCCUUCAGUUUUUGAGAACCAAUGUAUCAAUCCAGUAGGAGGCUCCUCAAAAGUCCCACGCACCUACACAAACAAAGAAGAACUCGCAACCAACGCAAUAAAGGGGUUGUCAAUCCCUUCACGGCCACUUGUGAAAGUGAUAUCUGAUAGAGAUAAUAUGAUAAGAUAAAUAUAUUUUUGGUAUUUUAUAAUAUAGAUUGGAAAAGUAAAGAUGCAAAUAGAAGUAGAUUGAAAGCUCAUAUGAUAAAAGAUAGACCCGGUGGCCAUAGGUUUCACUAGUGGCUUCUCUCAAGAUAGCAUAAUGAUUACGGUGAGUGAACAAAUUACUGAUGAGCAAUUGAUAGAAAAGCGAAUAAUUAUGAGAUUAUCUAAGCAUGAUCAUGUAUAUAGGCAUCACGUCCGUGACAAGUAGACCGACUCCUGCCUAUAUCUACUACUAUUACUCCACACAUCGACCGCUAUCCAGCAUGCAUCUAGAGUAUUAAGUUCAUAAAGAACAUAGUAACGCGUUAAGAAAGAUGACAUGAUGUAGAGGGAUAAACUCAUGCAAUAUGAUAUAAACCCCAUCUUUUUAUCCUCGAUGGCAACAAUACAAUAUGUGCCUUGCUGCCCCUGCUGUCACUGGAAAAGGACACCGCAAGAUUGAACCCAAAGCUAAGCAAUUCUCCCAUUGCAAGAAAGAUCAAUCUAGUAGGCCAAACCAAACUGAUAAUUCGAAGAGACUUGCAAAGAUAACUUAAUCACACAUAAAAGAAUUCAGAGGAGAUUCAAAUAUUUCUCAUAGAUAAACUUGAUCAUAAACCCACAAUUCAUCGGAUCUCGACAAACACACCGCAAAAAGAGUUACAUCGAAUAGAUCUCCAAGAAGAUCAAGGAGAACAUGGUAUUGAGAUCCAAAGAGAGAGAAGAAGCCAUCUAGCUAAUAACUAUGGACCCGAAGGUUAGUGGUAAACUACUCACAACUCACCGAAGAGGCCUUGAAGAUGAUGUAGAGGCCCUCCACGAUCAAUUCCCCCUCCGGUGGAGCGCCGGUGAAGGCUCCAAGAUGGGAUCUCGCGGAUACAGAAGGUUGCGGCGGUGGAAUUAGGUUAUCGUGGUCUGUUCUGAUGUUCUCGGGGUACGUGGGUAUAUAUAGGAGGAAGAAGUAGGUCAAUGGACGCCCGAGGGGCCCACAAGAUAGGGGCGCACCCAGUAGGGGGGGGCACACCCUCCACCCUCGUGGCCGCCUCGGCUGUUGCUUGACUUCCACUCCAAGUCCUUUGGAUCACGUUCGUUCCAAAAAUCACGCUCCCGAAGGUUUCAUUCCGUUUGGACUCCGUUUGAUAUUCCUUUUCUUCGAAACACUGAAAUAGGCAAAAAAACAGCAAUACGGGCUGGGCCUCCGGUUAGUUGGUUAGUCCCAAAAAUGAUAUAAAAGUGUAAAGUAAAGCCCAUAAACAUCCAAAACGGGUAAUAUAAUAGCAUGGAACAAUCAAAAAUUAUAGAUAUGUUGGAGACGUAUCACCGGGACAUCCCGCCGCCUACAAUAAGUACUUUACUUCUCUUUUCUUUUCUCAUUUGCUGGUCCGAGUUCUUCCCGCCGUCUGAGUAGUCGGCCCUGGUGCAGUACUUCCCGGGCCAGACACCCCUCCAACUAGCUCCGGGUAAGGAGUUCCUGCCAGAUCGGUCGGUUAGUGACGAGGGCGACUCCGACUUGGGGGCGGCCGCCAUGGAGGAGGACGACGCCACAGGCGGCGGCAGAGGGGAAACAGGCGGAUUCUCUGGAAGCGGCCUGGGGGAGUGGCCGGACGAUGAUGCGGAAGACCGCGAACCAUGCCGCGGCCACCGCACCGACAAGUCGGGCGCCGGCUCUUCGGCUGCGCCGACUGCGGUAGCCGGCGCGCCGAAGCGCCGGGCUGAGGGCGGGCUCUUCAUCAGUCGGACCAAGAAGCCAAAGACCUCGGCCGCCGCGACCAAGCGGCACGAAGCUGCUGCGAAGGCGGCCUAGUACCAGAGGGUGCCGAAAUCGUGCCCGGGGGUGUGUGCGUAAGUCCUUUUGACUCUCUCUUUGUUGCGUCUUUGCUUUUUCUUCAAUAUUCUUCCCUACUUGCUUGAACAGGGCCCCGCUGUCCCUUUCGCGGGCCCCGGAGGCUUCAGUGGUUGGGGCGUCCAACAACUCUGUUGUCCCCCGCCGCAUGAACCCGCUUGCCGACCUCCAGGAAGCCAUGGAGAGGAACACGUGGGAGGCGCGCAAGGAGCGGGAGGAGGCGGCCAGGGCGGCGCAGGCGGAGGCCGAUGCCGCGGCCAAGGCGUAGGCCGAGGUGGCGAACAAGGAGCAGGCCGACACAACCACCAAGGCACAGGAGGCAGAGGCAUCCCGCGGUCAGGCCUCCGGGCCCGUCGACUCGCAGCACCCGGAGCCACCUGUGCCGGAGGCCCCAGAGCCGGCUGGUAGAGUCGGCAUUGUCCAGCCGGCCGUGGAGAAGGAAGGAGGCGGCCCCAGGCUUGGGAAAGAGGUGGUUCCACCCCCGGCGACUGCCAACACGCCGGUCGGCCAGCCCGAGGGCCACAGGCAGCACCGUCUGACAGACAGCUGAUGGUGGGGCCACUUCCCAUGGUCAGCAUCCCGGCGCGCCGGCGCCUGGCAAAAGCAAGCUUAGCGAUGCGCCUGAUGGAGGUCGGAGCCUCAAGAUCGGCAAUGCCCGAUGUCGAGGCCACCAGUGCCAACACAGCGGACCGGGCAUCUGGUGGUGGUGGCGGCUGUUGGUGUCAAAACCGGCAGAUCUCGGGUAGGGGGUCCCGAUCUGUGCGUGUAAGGCUAAUGGUAACAGGAGGCAAGGGACACGAUGUUUUACCCAGGUUCAGGCCCUCUCGAUGGAGGUAAAACCCUACUUCCUGCUUGAUUGAUCUUGAUGAUAUGAGUAUUACAAGAUUUGAUCUACCACGAGAUCGUAGAGGCUAAACCCUAGAAGCUAGCCUAUGAUGAUUAUGAUUGUCCCUCUACGGACCGAACCCUCCGGUUUAUAUAGACACUGGAGGGGGCUAGGGUUUACACAGAGUCGGUUACAAAGAAGGAGAUCUAAUAUCCGGAUCACCAAGCUUGUCUUCCACGCAAAGGAGAGUCCCAUCCGGACACGGGACGAAGUCUUGAUUCUUGUAUCUUCACGGUCCAAUAGUCCGGCCAAAGUAUAUAGUCCGGCUUUCUGGAUACCCCCUAAUCCAGGACUCCCUCAGUAGCCCCUGAACCAGGCUUCAAUGACGAUGAGUCCGGCGCGUAGAUUGUCUUCGGCAUUGCAAGGCGGGUUCCAUCUCCGAAUACUCCAAAGCAGAUUAAGGAUUGUGUCCGGCUCUAUGAGAUAAUUUCCGCACUCGACCGUGGAGCACAUAACACCUCACAAAUCUAAUUUGCUGACAUAUAUUUUUUACGGUGUGCCCUUACGCCGUGGCCUGGCCCAACACGAACAGAUUUUUCUUGGCCUGCCUCAGUUUCAUUGGCAUGCCUUGCCAAAGCAGAGAUCGUGUUCCCCUUAUCGCGGGAUCCUCCAUCAAUACGGGCGCUUGCAACCCCACGACGCCUGUUGGCAUGACUCCGUGUUUUUAGGUAAGUCCCAAGCGGUUACGUUGAGGACGCUUGAUAUUCACCCCCUUUAUAGAGGGGCCGAGGCCUAUCCCUCUUUUCUACCACGCUUGCGCCUUUUCGCAUCUCGAGUUCCAACACCUGAAGCCCAAGUUUAAGCACUUCGGAUCUUCAAUCAUGUCCGGAUCCAACCUUCAAGGCCGGUGGAUGGCCUCUUCUGUCACAGAGGAGGACAUUGCGAAGCUUAGGGAGGUCAGAUAUCUGACCGCCGACAUCAAGCACAGGCUUCCUGCUCCAGGGCAGGUCAUCCCUACUCCCGAGCCCAACGAGAGCAUCGUAUUUGUUUCUCACUUCCUCCGCGGCUUAGGCUUCACCCUUGACCCCUUUGUGGGAGUGCUCAUGUUCUAUUACAGGCUAGAUUUUCAUGAUCUAGCUCCGGACGCCAUCCUUCACAUCUCAUCAUUCAUCGUCAUGUGUGAAGCCUUCCUCCACAUCACUCCGCACUUCGGCUUAUGGCUUAAGACUUUCAAUGGGAAGCCAAAGAUGAUUGUGGGGCGACACGUGGAGUGCGGAGGUGCUGUAAUAAGCAGGAACGCCGACGCCCCAUGUCCAGAGGGCUUCUUCCCGAAGGUGUCCGAUCUAUGGCAGCGGAGGUGGUUUUACAUCACGGCUCCCAGAGGCACAAAGUGGGUGGCUGCCCCCGACUUCCGCUCGGAGCCUCCACCUCAAAUGGCGUCAUGGGCCAAUGUGGGACUGGAUUGGGGGCCUGCUAAUGAUGUACCAACAUUGUAGAGCCGCAUUUGGGAGCUUCUUGAGAGGGAUAUCAGCCUUGUCAGCGUAAUUCAGGUAAUGCUAGUCCGACGGAUCCUGCCGUGCAAAUGCCGGCCUCUCCAUAUGUGGGAGUUCAAUCCGGAAGGUUCGCAGACUAUUUUGCACUUCUUCAGCAUGAUGCUCGAAGGGAUGUGUAAGUUGUUCUUCGGACCACAAGUAAAGUGUCCGGACACCACCGAGGAUGCGGGCCUGAGCUGCAACUGCCCAGAUACCCAAGUAAGUAACCCAGAAACUGAACACUUUGUUUAUAUUUAUCAUAACAUUUAUCCUGAAAACCGUCCACGGCCAGGAAUGGCUCAGCAAGGCGGAGAGAAUCAGGUGUCCGGUGCCACUUCCCGAAGGCUCGCCUUGUCCUGCCAUAGCCAAGAUGCUUAGUCGUGGCUAAGUCAAGUGCCCUCGGAGAAAGACGAAGGGAAGAACAGAGAAGCAAAACUUCACACAUUGCACAUCCAAAUCGGGGGAAUUACUACCUCCACAAAGGAGGAUAGUCGGGGAGGGGAAUCUAGGGUCUCCUCCCCCCACGGGAAGAAGAGGGCCGCCUCCGAAGACUUGGAGACGGAGGUGCCCAGACAAGGGAAGAAAACUUCACCAGGGGGCCCUGCCCUGAAGGGCGUCCUCACCGCGCCAUGCCCGCAAACAGGCCAGCCCUCAGCCGAGCUGUAAGUUAAUCGUAAAUACAAAGCUACUGCUCCCUCCUCCGAGAACAAUAACCAGGAUCCAUCCUUUGCAGUCUAGCUAGCAGCUCUUCUCGACAGAGUUCAUCCUCGGGGGAUCUCCUUCCGGAGAUGAUGGAGAGUGAAACCCCACCAGCCUCUCCGCCUCAUGGGGCGGGCAACCCCGAGGUGUCGUCACGGAGGAGUCCAGAUUUGCCGAGGCCAAAAGCUAGUACUUCGGCCGCCCUGAGCCCGAAGUGUUCGGCUCACACGGGGGGUGAUAAGAAGGGUCCGGUACAGUUCGGCGACCGGCCGGACACGAUGACGGGCCUUCUGGAGCAAGCUGCUCUCUCGAAGGAUCACCGUUCAUUAAUGAGCACGGUGAUUGAGAAGAUUUCAUCCGCGACAAGCGGGUUGAACGAAGCUUUUACGAGCCUGCUCAGAGGCUUUGAGGUAUGUAAUGAAAUAUGUGAUUUUUUGAUUGUGGCGCACGCGCUAGGUGUGCUCUAUAUGGAUAGUAGCCCCUGAGACUCUAGUUGCCAGCCCUAGGCGGCAAAUGGAGGAUCACAUUGUUGAGUAAUGAUCACACUGUAUUCAUGCGCAGGUGGCUAAGGGUUCGGCAGCAGACCAGUCCGUUGAAGUCACCGAACUGAGGCGACAAAUUGAAGUUGUGGAUGCCGAUAUCACACUUGUGAACGUGCGGCUUAACGAGUCACAAAGUAUGUGCUCUAUUUUCCUUAUUUUUUUAUAGGAAAUAUUAAGAGGAGCAUAAUGUUAACGUGAUAUGCUUGGACUAUAGGCGGAGCUGCUGCCGUGGAGGCCCUGAGGGCGGAACUUGCCCUAGCCAAGGAACAAGCCCGGGCAAGCAAUGUGGCUGCCCUAAAGGUGGCUGAAGAGUUGAGAGCCCAACAAGCUGCUCAUUGCCGAAGCGAAGAUAAAAUAGCCGAGAUGGCUGCGGAGCUGAAAAAUGCCGCCAACUAGUAUGAGCUCCUUGAAAAAGAGAAUCAAGCUAAUUCAGCUGACCUGAAGAAGGCCCUUGAUGCAGCCAAGGAGACGCGGUCCGAAAUUAGGGAUGCACGGGAGGAGCUUCGACAGGCCGGAGAAAGCGCGGCUGGAAACCCCUAUUUGUUGCGGGUGAAGUUCUUAGAUCCAAAGUAUGCUCCUCUGGAUCGACGCUGGAGCCCUGCAGACGCGUAUGCGGAUCUGGCGAAGAGUACGGCUGAUGCGGCCAAGUUUUUCGAGGAUCAAAAAGAUAAUGAAGUGGAAAAGUUGUUCUGGUCGCAAUUCAGUGCUCCAACGCGUCCGCUGCCAUUGAGUGAGAGGAUGGCUGCGGUGGCCGAGCUCCAUAGGUUGUCCGGUCUUGCAAUGAGGUAUGUAGUAGACCAUCUAUGGCCGAAGGGGCCGAAGCCGGACAGUUAUUUUGGUUUAGUGCAACAAUUCCUUGGUGCCGUCUCGUGAAUCGAUGCCAUGAAAAGGUCGGCGUGCAUAGAGGGUGCACCGAUGGCUCUUUCCCGUGUUAAAGCAUAUUGGACAGAUAUGGAGGCCACCAUCAUUGCGACCCAGAAUCCGGCGGGAAGCCAGGAUCCAGCCGAGCACUACUUGGAGCAGGUAACAGAAGGUGCUCGUUUAAUAGAGGCUCAGUGCUCAAAGAAUAUCAUGUUCGAGUGAAAAAUCGUUUCAUUGUAAAAACAAUUUUAUUUUAAUUAUGGAGGCUAUGUUUAUACUUUUCGCCCGAAAGUGUUAUUGUGCCUCCUGUGCGGCCGUUUGAUGAAUGUAUGUAAUCUGAAAGUUAGCAGUCGUUGGCUUCAGACCCCAUGCAUACAAUGCGGGGGUGUUCACAAGAAUAUGCGUAAUCACACUUGAUCCAACGUCUUGGUCCAUUAAGGAGGUGAACGCACGUCGAACUAGGCAACCAGACUAUAUAGCUUUAACACUUUCACUUAGCCAUAGGAGUUUGACGGGGGGGCUACUAUGUAGCACCUGGUACCUUUGCGUGCAUCUGAAUACGAGCGCGUGUGUACAUGACCGGGAAACGGUCCUUCGUUAAUGCAGACGAAUCCUAAAGAUUCCGAUGAGUCCUCGAGUGGUUGACCAGACUCUCGCUAUAUCAUGACAGUCAGUUUUCGGCUUUCUCUACUGAGGUGCUCAUCCGGAAUAACUAGGGCACAAUCGCAGUAAUUCUCCUUUGGCCGCCUUAGCCGAUAAGAAUGGAACGUAAGGCGGCAAACCCAGGAGCCGGGCAAACCCAACAUUUGACCAAAGACAUGAUUCGGAGUUGAUGCAUAUAAGGCCAAACUCGCGACGCCGAACACUCCCGAAGGUAUUCAGACUUUUAGAACAUAUACUGGGCUGAAUAACGCCCUUUAUUAUGAACCCUGUAUUUCCCGGUACGUGCAUUAGUCUGUCGUGGCGAAAUGCCAAUAACAGCAGUAUCCCCUGUGGGUGUAGUACCCAUGGGGUGUGUAAGCAACAAGAGACAAUAAAGAAGGUUUACACAGGGGCUUAAUCUAAAGAGAUACCUUUGAGUGAGGCCCUGCGGCACAUCUGCGCCUUAGUCUCUGUUGUGCCAUGUCCUGGGAGGGUAUCGCACAAAUGGUGUCUGUAAAAAGGAAAACUCAUGUAGAAGAGUAUGACAUAAGCGUUGGCUAUUAUCAAUGGAUAAUAGAAGUGUAAGACAUUGGCCUGUUAAUAAGGUCGAGCCAAAAGGUGGGCUUUAUUGAAUAUCUGUAGCCCCUGGCGUCCUCUAUGGGAUUACAUGUAUAUCGCCCAACUCAGGUUUAUCUAGGCUGCCGGACCCCUCUAACCGUGUCUGUGGUCUUAACGACCGAUCAUGUGUUCUGAUAUUAGCGGCCGCUUAGUGUCCGACUACUAGAGCCGUCGCAUACCUUUCCGCACGUAAGGAACGCUCUGUAUUUCCGUUAACGGUGAUGACGCCACGUGGACCGUGCAUCUUGAGUUUGAGGUAGGCGUAGUGCGGUACUGCGUUGAAGCGGGCGAAGGCCGUUCUCUCGAGUAAUGCAUGAUAACCACUUUGGAGGGGGGCGAUGGUGAAGAGUAGUUCUUCGCUUCUAAAGUUGUCUGGGGAACCGAAUGUCACCUCUAGUACGAGGGAGCCCCUGCAGCGGGCUUCAACGCCUGGUAUCACCCCUUCAAAGGUGGUGUUACUUUGGCUGAUUCUGGAUGGGUCUAUCCCCAUCCUGUGGACAGUGUCCUGGUAUAUUAGAUUGAGACUACUACAGCCGUCCAUGAGGACGCGAGUGAGAUGGUAUCCGUCGAUUAUUGGGUCGAGCACCAAGGCAGCUGAUCCUCCGUGCCGCAUACUAGUCGGGUAGUCCCUAUGAUCGAAGGUGAUCGGUCAGGCCGACCAGUGGUUAAGUUUGAGGGUGAUGGGCUCUACAGUGUAUGCGUCUCUGAGCGCGCGUUUGUGCCUUCUCUUGGGUUUGUGAGCUGCAUGGAUCAUGUUUACUAUUUUUACCUCUGGUGGGAAUUUUUUCUGUCCCCCAGUGUUUGGCUAGCGAGGCUCAUCCUCGUCUUCACUUGGUGUUUCCCUUCCCUUGUGUUCGGCAUUUAACUUGUCGGCCUGCUUAAAGACCCAGUAUUCUCUGUGAGUGUGGUUCGCAGGUUUUUUUGGGUGCCAUGAAUUUGGCAUAGUCUAUCCAGGACUUUGUUCAGGCCGGACGGUCCCUCUUUGCUGCCUUUAAAUGGCUUCUUUUGUUGACCGGGUCGAGAGCCCCUGAAUCCGGUGUUGACCAUUGUGUUGUCCGGACUUUCUUCCUUGUUUCUACGUUUGUUUUUAUUGCGCCGUGGCUUCCCGUUGCCAUCCCUAAUUUUGGAUGUGCCUGGGUCACUGGUGCCUCUAUGGGCCAACCAGCUGUCUUCACCCGUGCAAAAGCGGGUCAUAAGGCUUGUUAAGGCUGCCAUUGUCCUCGGCUUUUCUUGGCCGAGGUGUCUGGCGAGCCACUCAUCCCGGAUACUGUGCUUGAAGGCCACUAGGGCUUCAGCAUCCGGACAAUCGACAAUUUGAUUCUUCUUAGUGAGGAAUCUAUUCCAAAGCUUGCGGGCGGACUCUCCGGGCUGUUGAAUUAUGUGACUUAAAUCGUUAGCGUCCGGAGGUCGGGCAUAUGUUCCUUGAAAAUUGGCCCUGAAAGCAUCCUCAGGUUCCUCCAAACUUCCGAUUGAGUUUUUGGGGAGGCUUUUCAACCAGUGCCGAGCUGGUCCCUUCAACUUGAGGGGAAAGUAUUUGAUGGCAUGGAGGUCGUCCCCACGAGCCGUGUGGAUGUGAAGGAUAAAAUCCUCAAUCCAGACCCCGGGGUUUGUCGUUCCGUCAUAUGCCUCUAUGUUCACGGGUUUGAAACCUUGUGGAAAUUCGUGGUCCAGUACCUCUUCGGUGAAGCACAGAGGGUGAGCGGCCCCUCUGUAUCUGGACAUGUUUGUGGCGUGCUGUCAACUGUUGUUGUGUCCGGUGCUUAUUCCGAACUGGUACUCGAUCAGUCUGAUCAUUUUGGUGACCAUAAUCCUGCCCCGGAGAGUGUCCUCUAGAUCAAUAGAUGGACCUGGUCGCGCCGACCUUUUUAUCCAGGAGCUCACGUAAAUCAUGUGCGGCGUCAGUAGCUGCUCUAUUGCGGUCAUGAAGUGGUUGGUCCAGCCUACUGGCUGUAUUGUUCUUCGGUGGAACGGCCUGCUCGUCGAAUUCUGGCAGCAGCUUGCGCUUUGGAUAGCUCUUUGUGUGGCGAUCGUCGCCGUAUUUUUCUUUAGUGUCUAGCACUUUAUUACAUCUGCGAUUGAGCGUUUCCUGUGCGGCCUUAAGCCUUUGCUUCUGCUUCUUUAGACUUCUCACAGUGGCCAUAAGCCUUCUGUGGAGGUUAUCUCGUUCCAAACGUUCUUCCGGGAUGAUGAAUGCAUCAUCGUCUGGACUGUGCUCCUCUCCCGGGGCGGGUUGAUGAGUUCGGCCCUCGGGAUCACUGUGAUCGGGCGUCUGCUCCGGGCUGUGUUCGGCGUGACCUGGCUCAUCCUGCUCCAUCGCUGGGUCCAUACGGUCGUUGUUGCCUUUGGAGUUGACUGGGGUGUCGAUCCUUCUAGCGUUGUUAUCGCUGUUUUUGUUGUGGCUGGGCUUAGAGCGGCGUCCGCACCGUUGUUUUGGCAUUUGUCCGGGGGUUUUAUCCCCCGUUUUGUCGCCAUUGUCCUCCUUAGGUGUGUCCACCAUGUAUAUAUCGUAUGGUGAGGUGACAGUCCAGCGCCCUUUGGGUGGUGGUUCAGAAUCGUCCCCUGCACCGACGUCCGUACCAUUGGUGUCAUCGGAGUCGAAGUCAAGUAUGCCUGUUACAUCGUCGACAGUGGCUAUAAAGUGGGUGGUGGGUGGGGAACGAAUUUCUUCGUUGCCUUCUUCCCUCUCAAGCCGGACAUAAUUCGGCCAAGAACCUCCUGACAAAGAGAGAGACCUUAAUGAAUUCAGCAUGUCACCGAGGGGCGAGUGCUAGAAGAUAUCCACAGCGGUGAAUUCCAUUACCGGAGCCCAACCAGAAUCGGCAGGCUCGGGGGCGCGCAGUCCGGAACCUACAGCCGGACACAAGUCCGGGGGUCCGGAGACACAGGCUUCCUUGGGGGUGAAGUCUGUGUUUGGCUUUACCACCGAUGAAUGUGCGGCUUCUGGGGCGGGGUCCAACCACCCGUCCUCGGUCGAUGCAAUCUGCCCCGGAUUUAGGUCCGGGGCUCCUGCAGGUGCGAUAUCCCGAGUAUUGUCCGACAGCAGGUCUAAGCCAUGCUCGUCGUGACUAUUCUACACUCCUAGCGUAGGCUCGAAUCCGUCGAAGAUCAAGUCUCCGCGAAUAUCAGCCGUGUAGUUCAGGUUUCCGAACCUAACCUGCUGGCCAUGGGCGUAGUUGUCAAUCUGCUCCGGAUGGCCAAGCGAAUUGGCCCAUAGUGCGAAGCCUCCGAACACGAAGAUCUGUCCGGGGAGAAAAGUCUCACCCUGGACCGCGUUAUUGUUGAUGAUUGAAGGAGCCAUCAAGCCUUGCGGCGACGACACAGAGGAACUCUCAAUGAAAGCACCAACGUCGGUGUUAAAACCGGCGGAUCUCGGCUAGGGGGUCCCGAUCUGUGCAUCUAAGGCUAAUGGUAACAUGAGGCAAGGGACACAAUGUUUUACCCAGGUUCGGGCCCUCUCGAUGGAGGUAAAACCCUGCUUCCUGCUUGAUUGAUCUUGAUGAUAUGAGUAUUACAAGAGUUGAUCUACCACAAGAUCGUAGAGGCUAAAUCCUAGAAGCUAGCCUAUUAUGAUUAUGAUUGUCCCUCUACAGACCGAACACUCCGGUUUAUAUAGACAUCGGAGGGGGCUAGGGUUUACACAGAGUCGGUUACAAAGAAGGAGAUCUAAUAUCUGGAUCUCCAAGAUUGUCUUCCACGCAAAGGAGAGUCCCAUUCGGACACGUGACGAAGUCUUGAGUCUAGUAUCUUCACGGUCCAAUAGUCCGGCCAAAGUAUAUAGUCCGGCUAUCCUGAUACCCCCUAAUCCAGGACUCCCUCAGUGGCGUCCUGAACGUGUCGGUGCAGGACAUCCAGACCUAGCUUGCCACCCAGGGCGCCGCCCUCCAGAAGUGCAUGCAGGAGUUCGUGGCGUCGCGAACGGUCGUUCUGGUAGGCGCUUGCUUUACCCGGCGCUUGCUUUUUGUCUUCAUCUUCUCAUAGUCUUCCGUGGGGGCGCGCUAGCGCACCCACUGGGUGUAGCCCCCAAGUUCUGGGCCGGCUGCUGAGCAUGCGGCUUGGAACUUUAAGGUGAGUUCCGAGUGCUAAUCUUGUUUUUCUUUUCUUCUUUUGUCCUUGCUGCAGGACUACCACAACCUCCGCGCAGCCGCCUACAACUCCCACGUCAAGGAGCUGGCCAAGCGGACCAGCAACUUGAACGAGAGCCGAAGUAAGCGUUCCGUCUUUCUUCUCAUGGGGGCGUGUCAACGCACUCGCUGGGUGUAGCCCCCGAGAUUCGGACCGACUGCUGAGCAGUCGGUCGGGCCGGAUCUUCCGGCAACUACCUUCUUCUUUUUCUUGUUGAUGAUGAUGUCUUCUUUUUUUAUCUUUGCAGAGGCGGCUACUGCACUGCAGCAGCGCCUGGGCGAGGUCGAGACCGAGCUCCGCACUAAGGAGCUAGAGCGCAGCCAGGCGGCGCAGGAGUGCGAGCGCCUGAACAAGGAGCUGGCCGACCAGGCGGAGAGGCACAAGGCGGAGGUCCAGCAGCACAAGGCAGAGAUCUGGUAGCUGAAGGACGGCGAGGACCUCCUCAAGGCCGAGUUUGAGACUUAGCACUCGAACUGGGCCGAGAAGGAGGAGUUCCUGAACACCGGCUACAGGGAGAUCGAGGACUUGAUCGAUGGUAAGUAGUUCUCGUCUUCUUGAGUGGCUGCCGGCUGCUAUGUGAGCCGGCUUCUAUCUUUUCAUUUUUUGAUCUUUUUCCUUCUCGGAGUACUACCCUGGCUACUACAUCGCCGUCACCCAGGCCAUCGAGGCACGACACGCGACGCGAAGGGUGGGGGCGCGGACAUUGCGCCCAACGCACCCCAGAAUCUCGGCGAGCAGCUCCUGGCCAUCAAGACUCCCCUGCAGCCGGCCCAUCGGAUGCUCCGCCGACUGCAAUGCGCCGGUGCUCUGGUGCUGGCCGCCGUCUGGCGGGGAGUUCGGAUCUCGCGCACCCCUGGCCGGACUGCCGAGUGGCUGGAGUCUGCAAUCGGCCGCUUCGAGGCCUGGAAGGGCACCGCGGCUCGGGUGGGUGCUCAGACGGCCCUGGAGUUCACCAAGGCAUGGUAUCCCAACUUGGACUUGACCCAACUCGCUACCUUCCAGCUGGAGGCCGCAGACGAGCUGGUGGAGGUGGGCCCUGAGCUCACCCGGUGUGCGGCAGCGCUCGCCGACUACACCAACAUUGUCGUCUUCAUCCCCAACUUGGAUGCUGACGGCAAUAUGGUGCCGCCGAGCUGGUUUGGGUUGGACCAACUGGGCGAGGAGGACUCGGCGGAAGAAAUUGCCUCCAGCGACGAGGGCGAUGACGACAAUGACUUAGAGGAGGAUGAAGAUGUCGCGCCGGGAGGCGAAGUGGGUGGCUAGCCUCAGCCUGACCAGGCUUCGACCAGCGAGCCGUGGGUGGCUACACUGACUGCUGCCGCUGCCGACCAAACCGAGACCAGCCAGCCGGCCGCUCCACCAUCCAGCGCCGCCACCUCCGCCGACCCCUCGAACCCGCCUGCUGCUUCUCUGGCCUAGGCGGCCACAUUUACCUUGUCUUGUCCUGUGCUGUAAUUUCUUUUAAAUAAUUCUGUUAAGUAUGCGCAACUCCACCCACUAGGUGUGUAUUUUAAACUUCAUGGAUGCUGGCCUCUGGCCUUUUUCAAUGUACAUAAGUUUAAAUUCUUGCUCGAUUUUUGCCUUUCUCUCUUUGGCUUUGUGUUGUUCUGCGUUUCCUUGGCCGCCUCCCUACCAGCCGGACAGCCGCUUUGUGGUCUGUGGCUGGGUCGGGGACUUGUUCGUUCUUCAGAAUGGGCAAGUUACUUAGGCCGCAUAGAGUAUGGCUCGAUCGAGCGAGAAGCCGGCCUGCCGGCUGCUAAGCAGCCGGACGAGGGAGGCAGAGGGACGACUGGUCCUAAGUUAGCGUUCUUCCUUAGCCGAAUUUUGUGUGGGCGACUGCUCCGGCCUUUAGCUCCCGUGAGUCGACCAGCCGUGCUGCAAGCAGUGACUUAGGGCGGAUAGAGGGCUUUUUAGCGUCGGCACACUACUAUCCGGCUCCGGCUGGUGCAAACUUAGGACAAGGCGGCGAGCCCCCGGGCCGACUGACCGGAACCCGGACGCGGCAGGAAUGAAAAAACUCCAGUCAUGUCAUAAGCUUAGCUCAUAGAUAGAUAAAAAGGUAGCCCCCGAGUUCUCCUUGGGGGACCUGAGGUCUUUUAAUUAAUACAAAAGUUGGCAUGAUACAUACGCUCAAAUCAACUGUAAAAUGGGCGGAGCAGAUUUGCAUUCCAUGGUCGCUCCGUCUCGUUGCUGGCUGUGCAUCUCUUGCGCGCCCUGGGCUUCUGGGCGUCGAUGAGGUAGUACGAGUCGUUGCCCAAGGCCUUGCUGAUGAUGAAGGGGCCUUCCCAAGGUGUCGCGAGCUUGUGCUGUCCGGCUGGUCGCUGGAUCAGGCGGAGCACAAGGUUGCCCUCACGGAAAGAACGUGGCCUGACCUUCCUGUUGUGGUAGCGGCGUAGGCUCUGCUGGUAGAUGGCGGACCGGUUGCAUGCUAGCAUUCGGGCCUCUUCCAAUAGAUCAACACCGUCUUCUCGCGCCUCUUUGGCCUCCGCCUCCGUGUACAUGGCAACCCGAGGCGAGUCGAACUCAUGUGGGGAUGAUCACCUUGAAACCGUACACGAGGAAGAAGGGCGUGAAGCCCGUUGAUCUGUUCGGCGUGGUUCGAAGACUCCAGAGGACGGCGGGAAGCUCGUUGCAACAGCCGUUCGACCGCUCUAGUGGCUCGAUCAGGCGGGGCUUGAUGCCGGACAAGAUGAGGCCGUUUGCUUGCUCCACCUGGCCGUUUGACUGCGGAUGGGCAACAGAUGCUAAGUCCAAUCGGAUGCCCUGAUUUGUGCAGAAACGGGCCAAGGCGCCUUUGGCAAAGUUGGUGCCGUUGUCAGUGAUGAUGUUGUGAGGAACGCCAUAUCUGACAGUGAUGUUGGCGAUGAAUGUGACAGCAGUCGGCCCUUCCAGCUUCUUGAUUGGUUUUGCACUUUUGCUUCUAUCCAUUUGGUGAACUUGUACACGGCGACCAGCAGAUGGGUCAUGCCACCGUCUUGAACGGGCCUACCAUAUCCAAACCCCACACGGCAAAGGGACAGGUGAUGGGGAUGGUCUUGAGGGUGGAGGCCAACAGGUGUUGCUUGGCGCUGAACACCUGGCACCGCUUGCACUUCUUGACUAACUCUUUGGCAUCAUCCAAAGCAGUCGGCCAGAAGAAUCCAUGGCGGAAAGCUUUGGCCACAAGGGACUUGGAGGCAGCAUGGUGGCCACAUUCGCCUUGAUGUAUAUCUCUGAGGAUCUCCAUGCCUUUCUCUGGUUCUACGCAGCGCUGGUGAACGCUAGUCACACUCCGCCUUGCGAGCUCUUGAUUGAUAAUGGUGUAGGAGCCUGCUCUGCGCUGGAUCUAUCUUGCUAGCACCUAAUCGGUUGGCAGCACGCGGCUGACAAAAUAGUCACAGAUGGGCUGUGCCCAAGAUGGGGCCGCCACCACUUGAACACGGCGACUGAUACGAUGGGGCGGGUUGGGAGGCGGCGGGCUGGAGCCGGCCACUCCGGAUGGCGCUGAUGAAGUCCCCUGGCCAACUAUAGAAGCCCCCGGGCCGCUUGCUGGGAGCGCUGGGUCGGGUGCUGGUGCUGCAGCCCCCGGGCCGCUUGGUGAAGUCCCCGAGCUAGCCGCUGAAGUCCCCGCGCCGACUACUAAAGUCCCUGAGCCGGAUCCGGCUGUUCCUAGGGCAGCCGGCACGAAGAUGGAGUCGGACUCUGGUGAAGGCUUGAUGGACGGCUUGCGGAGGCACUCGAGGGAGACGCCGGAUGGUAUAGCUUGUCGGGUGGAGCCGAUGCGGGCGAGAGCAUCUGCUGCGUCGUUGUCAGCCCGUGGCACAUGGAUGAACUCGCACCUGUCAAAGUGGUCGCUCAUCUGUUGGACGACGAAGCGGUAGCUUGCCAUGUUGGCAUCCUUGGCCUCCCAGUCGCCAGACGACUACUGGACCAACAAGUCCGAGUCGCCGUAGUAGAGGAUGCGGUGAAUGCCGAUUUCUUUGGCCAGUCGGAGCCUGAAGAUGAGCGCUUCAUAAUCGGCUAUGUUGUUGGAGGUGGUGAAGUGGAUUUGCAGCGCAUACUUCAGCUUGUCGCCUUUGGGAGAUGUGAGAACAAUGCCGUCUCCCAAACCGGUGCGCAUCUUUGAGCCAUCAAAGUGCAUCCACCAAUGCGUGGAGUCUGGAGCUGGCGGCAGGUACUGGGACUCGGCCCAGUCGACAAGGAAGUCGGCCAGUGCUUGGGACAUGAUGGCAGUGCAGGGUUGGUAGAAGAUGGUGUGAGGAGCCAGCUCGAUGGCCCACUUGGUCACCUGGCCAGAGGCAUCUCCGUUGCCUAUGAUCUCGGCAAGGGGUGCGGUGCAGACGAUCGUGAUGGAGUGCUCUUGAAAGUAUUGCUUCAGUUUCUUGGCGGCAAAGUACAUGCCAUAGCACAUCUUCUGGUAGUGGGGGUAAUUCUGCUUGGAGGCUGACAGGACCUUGCUCAAGUAAUAUACUGGCCUCUGGACCGACUGUGCCUUGCUGGCUUCUGGGUGCUCGACGACGAUCACCGUGCUGAUAACUUUGUUGGUUGCGGCGAUGUAGAGGAGCAUAGGCUCUUUAGCAGCCGGGGCCGCCAGGAUAGGCGGCGUUGACAUCAUCCGCUUGAGCAGGAGGAAGGCGGUGUCCGCCUGGUUGUUCCACUCGAAGCAAAAGGUUUUUUUCAUGAGCUGGUACAGGGGGAGUGCCUUUUCGCCCAGCUGGCUGAUGAAGCGGCUGAGGGAUGCCAGGCACCCGGUGAACUUCUGCACGUCAUGCAGCUUGGUAGGUUUCUCCAUUCUCUCGAUGGCCUUGAUCUUCACAGGGUUGCAUUCGAUGCCGCAUUCUGAGACAAGGAAUCCCAGGAGCUGCCCGGCUGGCACAACAAAGACACACUUCUCCGGGUUGAGCUUGAUGUUGAAGCGACACAGAUUUUCAAAGCUUUCUUUCAAAUCUUCCAUCAGGGUGCCACGCUUUUCCGUCUUCACCACAAUGUCGUCCAUGUAAACGUGGGGCAUUGCGUCUGAGUUGCUUGAGCAAGCACUUCUACAUACAGCGUUGGAAGGCGGCGCCAUCAUUCCUGAAGCCGAACGUCAUGGUGAUGUAGCAGAAGGCGUCGAAUGGCGUGAUGAAGGCGGUAUUCGGUCGAUCAGCCGGUUCCAACUUGAUCUGGUGGUAGCCGGUCAAGGAAAGACAACAGCUCGCAUCCGGCUGUGGAGUCGAUCACUUGGUCUAUUCGCGACAGUGCGAAUGGAUCUUUGGGGCAGGCUUUGUUGAUACUGCUGUAAUCAAUGCACAUGCGCCACUUGUUGUUCUUCUUCAGCACAAGGACCGGGUUGGCAAGCCAGUUCGGGUGGAACACUUCCAUAAUGAAUCCGGCUGCUAGCAGUCGGGCGACUUCUUCUCCAACAAUCCUUCUCUUUUCUUCGGACAGGCGGCGGAGGGGUUGCUUCACCGGCUUGGCAUCUAACCUUACAUGAAGUUUGUGCUCGGCGAGAUCCAUCGGGACACCCGACAUUUCUUUGGGGGACCAUGCAAAGAUGUCUCGAUUCUCACAAAGGAAAUCGACGAGCUUGCCUUCCUAUUUGCUGUCGAGGCCAGUGCCCAUGACAGCAAAUCUCUCCGGGUGGUCCGGGUCCAAGGGAAUCCGCUUGGUCUCUUUGGCCGGCUGGAAUGAGGCCCCUGCUUCAGCUUCCUUGGGAUCAGUUGGCAUGCCGGCUUCUCGCUGGCCAUUGCUACCAUUCGAUCGAGGAGCUGUCUUUCUUGAGCUAUGACGAGGGACUCGGCCAGCCGGCUGCUGGCAGCUGCACAGUCUUGUGACUUCUUGUAAUCUCCAGCAACAGUGAUGAUGCCCUUGAGGCCUGGCAUCUUGGCUUUCCAGUAUGCAUAGUGAGGGACCAUCAUGAUUGGCCAGUGUAGGGUGGCCCAAGAGCGUGUGAUAGGGGCUUUCCAAGUCAACCACCUAAAACCAGAUUGGCUCGCGGCAGAAAUGAUCUCUGUUGCCGAAGAGGACGUCAAUCUUUAUCUUGCCAAUUGGGGAGCAGGACAGGCCCGGAACUAUGCCGUGAAAAAUAGUCCAGCUUAGCUGAAGUUGCUUGGCCUUGAUGCCCAGUCGGUCCAUGGUAUCUUUGUACAGGAUAUUGAUGCUGCUGCCACCAUCUAUCAGCACUCGGCCGAAACAGCAGUUCCGCCUCUCCGUUGCAAAGGUUACUUCGAGCACCAGGGCAUAUGAGCCCGGGUUGGGCAUCACAGCCGGGUGGUCAGCUUGGCUCCAAGUGAUAGGCUUCUCGGACCAGUGCAUGCGGGUGGGAGCUUCUGUAAUGACAGCAUUGACCUCUCUGUGUUGUCGCCGCCUGCUGUGCCUGUCGCCGGCUUUGCUUGUGAAGACGACGUAAGCGGCAUGCUCUUUAGGGAGCUUGUCUUGAGCGGUGCCAACUGGUCGGGCUGCCGGCUGCUGAACGGCUGGAGCUGGAGGGCCGGCUGGCGGGGGAGGCGGGAGGGCCUCGCCCUUGGCGAUCUGAGCUAGCCAGUUGCACUUUCCGAGUGGUGUGGUUGGAUGGCUUCGCGCCACUGUGGAACUUGCACGGGGCAUCAAGGGAUUGCUCAAAGGAGAGGCCGGGCAACCACGCUCCCUUGCCAGUUUUUUGUUGCUUGGUGCUGGGCUGACCAGUCGGCUACUGCUCUUUGACUGCUGCUACCCGCCGGCUGCUGGAAGCCGGCUGCUGGGCCUUGUGCUUGUUGUCGUUCUACUGACACAUGUUGGCGUCACCAGCCGGCGUUUGGGAAGCCUGAGGGAGCACCUUCCCGGUCGCGUCUACUCGGAGCUCCGACUUCAUGUAGGAGUCGGCCGUGGCGUACUUGUCCGCUAUGACCAGCCGUUCGUCUAGAGUAGCUGGCUCGUCACAGAGAAGCUUGUGUUUGAGCAAGGUGCCCUCUCGGCACCCGGUCGUUAAGUACUCUAUGGCAUGCGCCUCGUGCACACCUUCGCAGGAGUUGCGCAGCUCGCCCCAGCGUGUUAGAUAGUCACGAGUGGACUCAGUCGGGCCUUGGACACACAAGGAAAGUUGUCGAGGCUUGGGCGGCCGCUUGUAAGUGCCGGUGAAGUUGCGGAUGAAGACGUCAGAGAAGUCUAGCCAGCUGUUGACGUUAUGCGGCUUGCGGCUGUUCAGCCAUGUCCGGGCCGUGAACUGGAGCAUGAGCGGAACGUAUUUCAUGGCAACACACUUGUUUUCGUUUGCUAUGUUGACGGCGGUGGAGUAGUCGGCUAGCCAAUCUUCUAGCUUCAUGGAGCCGUUGUACUUGGGAGUGUCUCGUGGGAGCGAGAAUCCUUUGGGGAAGGGCUCAUUUCUGAUGCGGCGGCCAAAACAGGGCAGGCCGACCGUAUCUUUUUCUUCUUCCGCCAGGGAUCGAGCAAGUCGGUUGAUCCGAUGGCGAGCAUCGUUUUCUCUGAUUCCCUCGCGGUGACCUAUCCGGUCUCCGAGAGUCAGGUGCCCAACAGGCAGCGGAGAAGCGUGCCUCUCCCUGCGCGGGAGAAGCGGGCAGUCGUUGCGCCGUUCCACUGCUCUUGGGCGGCCGUCGGCGUCACGAUCAAUCGAGAUGUGUGUGCGCCGACUGCGGCUUGCAGCCAGCUCCGGGUCGCCUCGGCCACCGGUCGGGGACCGAGAGGUUGCACCGUGCUCUCGGGGAUGGAGGCGGGUCUCAUCUGGCUCGUCAGGUUCUGCCGCACAGCGGGCAGCUUCCUGUUGGAUGGCGGCCGCAUCGAGAAGCUGCUGCAGGCGCUCCUUCAUGUGGCGCCUCUCGUCGCCCUCUAGGUUGUCCAACUCCUCUGCUGUUGCCUGGGCGACGCGCAGGUUCUCAGCGGGCGUGGCAUAGACAGGGCGGUCGGCCCCGAAGAUGCUGGUGAUGGUGGCGCCGUGAUGCCGGACUGCGCCCAGCAGGCUGGGCUCUCCAGCAGCCGGAGUGCCGCCUAUGGCGCUGUCGAUCUCGCGCUGGUAGGCCUCGGCGAGGCGCUUCGCAGCGGCCAGCUGCUUGGCGUUGUCGAGGAGCGAAAGGCGGUGUGCCUCUAGGGUUGCGCUGUCUGCGCUGUCCUCGACCGGGGUGGGAGGGCUGCAGGGUCGAACGGAUCAGAUCCUGGCCCGCACUGGCCGAGGCUCCAUCCUGACUGAUGACCAGCACCUCUGUGACGGUGCUGAUGCUGGUCAAGCUGUCCGCAUGAGGGAGCGGGUCGUUGAUGAUCUCUACGUGGUCGGGGUAGGCGUCUGCCGUGUCGGAGUCGAUGGCCAUCUCGACGGGCGGAUCGGUGGAGCCAACUGACUCCAGGACGGAGGCGGGCUCGUUGACGAUGUGGAGUUUGUCGAGGAGGUCGAUGAGGCAGCUCUUAGAGUUGGCCAAACCCACGUCGGAAGCAGGCUUGUCGGCGAGGUGGACGCUGCCGAGGAGAUUAGCAAGGGAGCUCCCGGCGCAGGUGGCCUCCACAUCGUGCAGAUCGGCGGUGCAGACACCAAUGAGCGAGCCGGGCUGGCUGCGCUCACGGGGAAGGAAAUGGGUUCCCGUCCAAAACGUGUCUCCGGACAACGGUGCGCCUUGCCCCACAGUGGGCACCAAAUGUCGUGGUAGUUCCUCGACAUAUGCCAACGGGUGGCUAAUCAUGUAGGAGGUCAAUAGAACAUUGCCGGGCUCUAGAAGCGAGAGUAGGCAAGACCACAAACGACGCUGGGUCUUACCCAGGUUCGGGGCUCUCCAUGGAGAUCACACCCCUAGUCCUGCUCUGCGGGGUCUCAGCAUCACUAUGAUCAAUAGUAAGUACAAAGAUGCUCCUUGAGUUGUUCGGGCUAGAGGAGGAAGAAGGCUGCUUGCACUACUUCUCCUUAGCUAUGGGUGUGUGUGUGUGAUCUAAAGAGGUUGAACCCAUUGCAUGGGUGACCCUGGGGGUUUAUAUAGGCCUACCCCCAGGGUACAAUGGUAAUCCAGCUCGGCCUAGGACCCGGUCGUUAGUGUCUCUGGGCUCUGGCUUCUCCGCCGGCUGCUGGGGCUCGUCAUCUGAUGGGUCCCACCUGCUGCCGUAAGCUCAACCGAUAGGUAGGCCCGCUGCCUGCGGGCCAGGGGGACCAGGCUACACUGUAGCCCUGCCCCUGAUGACGAUGGCUUGGUCGGGGGGCGCAUGGCUACAGUACCGCCGCCUGGUGGGCGAUCACUGUAGCCACACCCCGUCACCUCUGGUUAAUUGGGCACAGACUCCAAGGGGAGGGGUGAUACGUCCAUUUUGCAUCAUGCUUUUUUAUCGAUAUUUAUUGCAUUAUGGACUGUUAUUACACGUUAUGUCACAAUACUUAUGCCUAUUCUCUCUUACUUUACAAGGUUUACACGAAGAGGGAGAAUGCUGGCAGUUGGGGAUUCUGGGCUGAAAAAGGAGCAAAUAUUGGAGACCUAUUCUGCACAGCUCCAAAAGUCCUGAAACUCCACGAAAGUCAUUUUGGGAAUUAAUAAAAAAUAUUCAGCGGAAGAAAUACCCGAGGGGGGCCACCCACCAUCCACGAGGGUGGGGGCGUGCCCCCUGCCUCGUGGGCCAUCUGGCAGCCCUCCGAUGCCCAUCUUCUGCUAUAUGAAGUCUUUUACCCUGGAAAAAACAAUAAGCAAGCUUUCGGGACGAAACUCCGCCGCCACGAGGCGGAACCAAUCUAGGGCUCCGGCGGAGCUGUUUUGCGUGGGAAACUUCCCUCUGGGAGGGGGAAAUCAUCACCAUCGUCAUCACCAACGAUCCUCUCAUCGGGACGGGGUCAAUCUCCAUCAACAUCUUCACCAGCACCAUCUCCUCUCAAACCCUAGUUCAUCUCUUGUAUCAAAUCUUUGUAUCAAAACCUUAGAUUGGUACCUGUGGGUUGCUAGUAGUGUUGAUUACUCCUUGUAGUUCAUGCUAGUUGGUUUAUUUGGUGAAAGAUCAUAUGUUCAUAUCUUAAUGCAUAGUAAUACCCCCCUGAUUAUGAACAUGAAUAUGCUUUGUGAGUAGUUACGUUUGUUCCGGGGAACAUGGGUGAAGUCUUGCUAUUAUUAGUCAUGUGAAUUUGGUAUUCGUUCGAUAUUUUGAUGAGAUGUAUGUUGUCUCUCCUCUAGUGGUGUUAUGUGAACGUCGACUACAUGACACUUCACCAUUAUUUGGGCCUAGAGGAAGGCAUUGGAAAGUAAUAAGUAGAUGAUGGGUUGCUAGAGUGACAGAAGCUUAAACCCUAGUUUAUGCGUUGCUUCGUAAGGGGCUGAUUUGGAUCCACUUGUUUCAUGCUAUGGUUAGGUUUACCUUAAUACUUCUUUUGUAGUUGUGGAUGCUUGCAAUAGGGGUUAAUCAUAAGUGGGAUGCUUGUCCAAGAAAGGACAAUACUCAAGCACCGGUCCACCCACAUAUCAAAUUAUCAAAGUAACGAACGCGAAUCAUAUGAGCUUGAUGAAAACUAGCUUGAUGAUAAUUCCCAUGUGUCCUCGGGAGCGCUUUUCUCUAUAUAAGAACUUGUCCAGGCUUGUCCUUUGCUACAAAAAGGAUUGUGCCAUCUUGCUGCACCUUAUUUACUUUCAUUGCUUGUUACCCAUUACAAAUUAUCUCAUCACAAAACUAUCUGUUACCUACAAUUUCAGUGCUUGCAGAGAAUACCUUACUGAAAACCGCUUGUCAUUUCCUUCUGCUCCUCGUUGGGUUCGACACUCUUACUUAUCGAAAGGACUACGAUAGAUCCCAUACACUUGUGGGUCUUCAAGGGGUUGCCGCCUGCUAGGAGUCGGCCUCCCCUUGAGGCCGCCUGCUCUGGCCUUGUCGUCUUCUAGGAUAAGCGGCCUGGUGGGGCCCGCCGCAUGCGGGCCGCACCGACCGCCCAUCGUGGGGGCAUGGCCCCGCCUGACAUAGGCAUCGUCAUGGGCUGCGUGGCUAUAGUGUCGUGCUAGGCGAAGGGUGUCCGCCUGGUACGUCUGCACUAUAUCCACGUUCCUUCCGUGAUUCGAGGGUGGCAGGUGGCAUUGUUGCCAUGCCCGGUCUUGUCGUAGCAGGUAGGUGCAGACUUUGAGGUGGCGAUGGGCCGCCUGCCAGGAGUCAGCCCAUACCUAGCUGCCUUCUGAGGUGCGUCGCCUUCUAGGGGGCGGCCGGUUGGCUCCGGCCGGCCGUGGAGGCCGGCCUUGCGGCCAGUUGGACUGAGGGGCUAGGCUAGCCCCGAUGUCUUGAAAUCUGCUAAGGUGCAGAUGGGGCUACCCAGGGUCUAUCCCCCCAUCAACAGCUAUGAGGAUGCUUGCAUGCAGAGCUCCCGGUGAUUCACUCGACGACUAUGGGCGCAUGGCCGAGUCCAUGACCAUUGAGUGUUUCUACAAGUUCUGUAGGACAGUGGUGGCAGUAUUUGGACCGCAAUACUUGCGGUCACCCAAUGUUGAAAGACACUACUCAGAUCCUAGCAUGGAAUGCAGCAAGAGGAUUUCCUGGCAUGCUUGGAAGCAUCAACUUCAUGCAUUGAAAAUGGAAAAACUGUCCAUUUGCUUGGCAGGGGAUGUACAAAGGCGUCAAAGACAGUUGCAGUGUGGUACUUGAGGCAGUGGCAACACAAGACCUCUGGAUUUGGCACUCCUUCUUUGGCAUGCCAAGAACUCACAGUGACAUCAACGUACUUCAGUGCUCCCCUGUCUUUGCCAAGCUUGUUGAAGGUCAUUCCCCUCCGGUGAACUUCGAGGUCAAUGGGCGGCACUACAACAAGGGAUACUACCUAGCAGAUGGCAUCUAUCCGAGAUGGUCUAUAUUUGUGAAGACUAUCUCAAACCCUGUGCCAGGAGACAAGAACUCUCACUUUGCGAAGGUUCAAGAGACUUGCAAGAAGGAUGUCGAGUGGGCAUUUGGUGUGGUCCAAUCUCGAUUUGCUGUUGUCCGGUACUCCGCUCAGACCUGGUCGAAAGAUCAAAUAUGGGAGAUCAUGACUUGUUGUGUCAUCAUGCACAACAUGAUCAUUGAGAGCGAGCAAGAAGAGCCAGUGUUUGACACUGAACCAUAUUACAGGCAGGGUCCUCUUGCCCAAGUUGAUCACCAGCUACCAGCAACCUAGACUGCCUUCCUCAAUAUGCGUUAGGAGAUCCGAGACCCACAGGUGCAUCAACAACUGCAGCAGGAUCUAGUGGAGCACCUAUGGAGGCUCAAGGGCAACGCCUAGCUCGACGUGUGAUGAAAUAUGAGUUUUUAUUUGUUGAACUAUAUAAUUUGUAUUGAACUAUUUGUUGUUGAACUAUUUGAUUUCUAUAGAUUUUCUGUGAUGAACCAUGUGAUAAAAAGUAGCUUCUGUUGAAUUUGCGCCGAAGCACGGUGAAUAUGGGCCGAUUUGCAUUGAUAGCAGGCCGAUUUUGCGCCGAAAGUGGGAUGAAAAGCGAGCAAAUUUACGCCAAAAUUGGGCCGAUAUCGGUGCCUGAGACGACCUGGGGGUGGCGGCUGGGAACGCAAUCGCCCCAAGCUGAUUUUAGCGCCGGUUCGUCCCCAGACGGCGAUUUUUCAAUUCCCCUAGGGGGCCGAUGGCUGGAGAUGCUUUUAGAAGCACGGAUUUGCUAAUUGUAGAAGCACAGGCUAAGCUUCUAGCGAAAACAAAGGUUAUGCUUCUCACAUAAGCAAAUAUGUAUUUUCACAAGAAACAAAAUCGUGCUUCUCGUGGGAGCACCAUUUUUUUUGAAGAUUUGUGCUGGAAUAAAAAAUAACAUUUUUCUUCAAAACCUAGGGAAAAUCAGGCAAAAGCCAAAAAAUGAAUCUAAAAGCCGAAAACAUGUACAUAAAAAAUGAAAUCUGAAGGGAGCUCCCAACACACGACACAUGGCGACGGCUAGGUUUCAUAUCGGGCUAGCCCAAGCAGGACUGAAACAGCUUUUUUCUGUCCUUUCUUUUUGUGUUUUCUUUCUUUUAUCUUUAUCUUUUUCUGAUCUUCCUUUCUAUUGUUAUUUUCCAUUUUCAUUUUCUUUCUUUAUUUUCCAGGAUUUUUAUUUUUAUUUUUAUUUUUUAAAAUAAUACUUUCUUUUUUCCUUUAUUAUUUGAAAACAUUUUUCAAAUUCAUGAAUAUUGUUUGAAAUCAUGAAAUUUAUUGAAAUCAUGAGUAUUUUUUUAAUUCAUGAACAUGUUAGAAAAAUCAUGAUUUCGAGAAACGACCUUGAUAGUUGAUAUCUAGAAACAUGUAGACGUCCACCGUGUCUCGAAAACCCUAAAUUUGGCCAAUGUUGUGGUUAUCUAUUCCUUCAUGUUCCUUGGGACGUAACACUUCAUUGAAAUGGGCCAAGCACAGCCAAGGGUAACCGCUCGAACUACUAAUCCCUUUCAUUACAUCCCAGGUUUGGUGCCUAAGAUAUGUUUGUGCCUCUCCAUAGCAGUGGCGGAGCUACACUAUCAAUUGUGGGCGGGCCAGUACAAAGAAAAUCCACUAUUUUUUUCCACACCUCAAUCUACUUUGAAUCCUCCAUUGCAUUUGGUACUAGCUGGCCAGGCCGUGCGUGGCCUAUAUUUAAUACACGUAGCUCCACCAGUGCUCCAUAGACACGUCAACCUCCAAGGAUCUUGUCCCACUUCUUCAACCUUUGCAUCAAUAUGGUACACCGAGUCUCCCAACAUCUCAAUAACCGUAUUAUUACUCCAAAAGAUACCGAUGCCACCACUCCUGCCUUUACUACUGAUAGCAUAAGCUUUAUCAUAACCUAUAGUGUUAGCUAAAGAUUCUACACGUGCUGCAUUUAUUUGAGUUUCAACUAUGCACAACACGGCAGGGGCAAACUUUCUCGCGAAAUCGCGAAGCUCCCGAACUGUCAUGGCUUUGUCCAUACAAUGGCAGUUCCAACAAAAGAUAUUCAUUGGGCCCGGAGGCACCCCUCCAGAGGGCCCGCAAAAACUACUUCUGCUGCUGCAAUGUUACCAUCGUUUACUUCUGAUGCCGUCCUUGCCUUCUUGGGAUCUCUCAUUUGUGGAGGGCUCACCGACGUUGUAUCAAUGGGUACGAUUGCUAGCUGAUUACCUUCUACCGGUAAAACUUGAUUUGUUGUUGUCACACCCGCUUGAUUCAUUGCCAAAGUUGCUCUCUCCGACCUAUUCGCCCACUUCCUGUUUGGACCUAGGGAGUUGCUACGCAUCAACCGACUGAUUUCCUUGAGAAAUCAGUCGGGUUGCCAGCCAUCCGAUCCCCUUUCUCUCAACCCUUGGAUAGGUCAAUGCAUGCAUGACUUUCUCCUUCUCAUCGCACCGAUCAGCCCUCCUGCUUCGAUCUCGUUGAGAGGUAGCAACGCAACAACUCGCCUGCUACUGCUGAGUAGCAUCCCGGCCGUCCCCGUUGUAAAGCAUCACGGCUGCCGCUGGCAAAGCGCUCCAUCGGAGCACCAGGAAGCCGACGGCGAGAGCUGCAACGAAGCACCGGAGCCGCCGGCAAGUGAUCCAUUGCAGCACCACGUGCUGCAUCACAACUCCGAAAGAGGCCGGCGAGUGCUCCAUUGCAGCAUGUUGUGCUGCAUCACAACUCUGAUAGACGCCAGCGAGUGCUGCAUCGCAGCAACGGAGCUGCCGGCGAGCGCUUCAUAGCAGCACCGAUGCCCCCGACGAGCGUUGCAUCGCAGCUCCGAUAGACGCCAGCGAGUGCUGCAUCGUAGUAACGAGCCGCCGGAGAGCGCUUCAUCGCAGCAGCGGAGCUGCCGAUGAGGACAGAACCGUAGCUCCGAUAGACGUCGAUGAGCGCUGCAUUGCAGCACCGGAGCCUCCGGCAACCGCUGCAUGGUAGCACCGAGAGUCACUGGAACUAGUGCGCGAGCGCGACCCCUGCUGCAGCCUCGAUCAUUGGCAUCGUCGCAGCAACACCUUGUUGCAUCACCUGCUGUGGCCGCCGUUGCUCGUGCAGGCAAGUGGAGGUUGUCCUUAUGCUUUGCAGCAGCGGGAAGGAGGAGCGGCUGCUGAAAAAGGGCAGUUCCUCCUGACAGCGCACACAAACGAGAAGUAGAAGCUUUUAGCAGCGCUGGCCGGCGUUGGUUCUGAUCUAGAGGAAGAGGAAGGCAAAGGAGAGGAGAGGUCUGCGGGAUGGAAAAAACUGAGCGAGGAAGACGAUGUACAGGGGUGAGAAAAAUGUGUGGUUGUGUGGAAGUGGAGUUUCUACACCUAGGAGCAAAUGCUCCUGGUGUGAACAGUAAAAUAAGAAAAUUCAAAAAAUUGUCAAAAAAAUCUGAUUUUUUUUGGCAUACUUAUACAAAUGUUUGUUGUGCAUGUAAAAUUUCAUCGCGAAAUCACAUUGAUGGAAGGUGUGGUAAAAAAACAAAAUCGAUGCUCUGAAAAUGUUACUUACAAAAGUAUUUUGAAGCUUUGACUUUGUUUUUCUCAGCACGACUUCCACGAAUGUGAUUUCGUGAUGAAAAUUAUCAUGCACAAAAAACACUUGUGAAAGUAUGUCACAAAAAAAAUUCAGAAUUUUUUAAAUUUUUUUUUUAUUUUUUUGAUUUUACUGUUUACACCAGGAGCAUUUGCUCCUGGCUGUAGAACGGUACUUUCGUGGUUGUGUGCGUCGCUGUAUCGGAUAAGAGAGAGGAAUAAGCGGCGCCUGGGGCCCAGCUGGGACGCGUGUCGAUCGCUCCAGGCGGCUUGCGUUUCGCUGUUUUCAUCCGGUUUAAAACAAGUGUUUUCCUUGGACCUAACAUGUCCACAUCCCUCUGUUCGGUCGUAGCCCGCAGGUUGCUCGAGUAGGUCGACUGAUAGCGACAAAACGUGAACUCCUAUUCGCUAUGUUUCGAAAUGGGCUGGCCUAAGUAGGCAUGAACCGGUUUUUCUCUCUUUUCUUUUAGUGUUUUAUUUCUUUUAUCUUUUACUUUUCUGAUCUUCCUUUUUUAAUUUUCUUUCUUUGUUUUUCCUGAUUUUUUUAUUUUUUAAAUAAAUCCUUUGUUUUUUCCUUUUGUUAUUCUGAAAACAUAUUUCAAAUUCAUGAAUAUUUUUUGAAAUCAUGAAAUUUUAUUGAAAUCAUGAGUAUUUUUUGAAUUCACGAACAUUUAAAAAAUCAUGAUUUUUUAAGUUGAACAUUUUUUACAAAUUUGCGAGCAUUUUAUAAAAUUCUUGAACAUUUUGAAGUUAUGAACAUUUACAUGAACAUGUUUUCAUAACAUUAAGCCAAUGAACUUUAUUUAAAUUUUGCGAAGAUUUUUCAAAAUUAAAGUAUUAUUUUUCAAUUUUGAGAUCAUUUUUGAAAAAAAAAUCAUGAACAUUUCUAAAAUUUGCUAUCGUGUGUUCAAAUUCACUAACCUUUUUACAGGGGUGCCCUGAUGUAUACAGGACCCCCUGAUGUUCGUGAUGUAUACAGAAAAAACAGGGGUUUAUAACAAAAUGUUUCCGAUGUAUAAAUAUACAAGGUGUAUGAAAAAAGUAGACAGCAAAAAUUAUGUUUUGAAAAAGGUUACUCAUAUAUUUGAAAAAUGUUGAAUACGUAUAAAACAAAUGUUUAUAUGUAUAAAAAAAUGUACAAUGUGAAUGAAAAAGAUAGAAAUCGAAACAUGUUGUCCCUCUGGUCUGUUUUGGUCUGCGCAUAAUUAUUUUUUCUUCUGUUUUUUCCUUAUUAGUCUAUGUGUUCCGCUUUCUCUCCUGAAGUUUCCAAACAUACCCCGCUUUGAAUAUGAAGGUUCUGUAAAAAUUGUUCUAACCAAGAACUACAUUUUACUCUGUUUUUGCACAGAGCAUAGCCAUGGAUGACUUCUAUGCUGGAGAGGGUACAGACCACAGUGGGGUUCCAAUCAAGAUGGUCACGCUGAACUGCUCCCUGAACCUGGUGGUGUACAACCCUGCUUCAAUGUUCAGAAUUCAUGUCUCUUCAGGCCCUGUCGGUCUGCUUUAUUCGGAGAUCGCCAUCGGGAUUGGACAGGUAUGUCUAUCAGCAUCCCCUGCCCAUAUUUGGUUUUUGGGUAACAACCUAGAGGUGUUGUCGUUUAUCCAUAUCUGAUAAUGGUGCUUCACAUCUUACCUUGUGAAGUACUGUAUGUGAAUAGCAUGAAUAGUGAAUAAGCCAUACCCAUUUUCACUGCUGCAUUUCACCACUCAAGUGAAUGGUGAAUUUGCAGAAUGUAUUCAAAGUACUGAAUCCUUGAAACAUUUUACAAUAUGCUGGACUCUUCUUACUUUUAUCGGAGUACCGGACUGAAGGUCUUGCAGAUAUGAACUAGGAAAGGCAGUAAUUUUGAGUCAAGAAAGGGUUAAUGCAUUGAUAGGGAUGGGCAUUCAGUAUAGAGAGUAGCAGGAUAGCAGGUUCAUCAAGAUAUGUGCUGUAUUGGUUUUGACUCAGAGUCCCCGGUAAUUUAAAAAAUGCGUUGAUAACAUCUCCUGUGAUGGCAGGUUCGCAAGUACUCUAUCCGUCCGGAUAUACUUGUCCUAGAAAUGGUUGUAUCUAGACUUAUUUUAGUUAUAGAUACAUCUAUUUUAUGAGAACGGCGUUUCGGUGCCCGGGGGCAUCUGCACCCGGUCAAAAAAAAAUUCGUAAAAAAUUCAAAAAAAUUCAAAAAGUUCCAAAAGAAAUUGGGUGGUAGACAAUUUGAUGCGUGAGGUACGCUCCAAUUUUCAAAACAUUUGGACUUCUGUGCAGCUCUCAGCAAAAAAGACAAAUCAGACCAGAACAGUAUAUGAACAGUACACAUUUUUACAGACCUCCGAUUUGUCUUUUUUGCUGAGAGCUGCACAGAAGUCCAAAUGUUUUGAAAAUUGGAGCGUCCCUCAUGCAUCAAAUUGUCCACCAUCCAAUUUUUUUUGGAAUUUUUUGAAUUUUUCUAGUAUUUAUUUUGAUUUUUUUCGUGAGCGCAGGUGCAGAUGAGCUCAGGCUCAGAUUCGAAUUUUCGCUAUUUUAUCCAUUUUUAAGAUAAGUAUUUUCGGAUAGAGGGAGUACUACCAACCGAGCAAGAGCCACCGGUCCAUGUCAGCGGUCAUCCACGGCAAGAGGGUGAGGACCGGAUCCCCGAGAAGGCCAGAGCCGUCUACAAGGCCUGAUUUCGGCGAGCCAUUUUCCUGUCCCCGUAGCUGAAAUGCCUUCUGCUGAAGAACAAUAAACGUGUACUGGUAGUAUAUUCCCACAAUUCUUGUCUUAAAUUUGUCUAGAUAUGGAUGUAUCUAAUACUAAGACGUGACUUGAUACAUCCAUGUUUAGACAAAUGUAAGACAAGAAUUUUGGGACGGAGGGAGUAUAAGGAACAUGUUUGAGCUUCGGUUUUGUUUAUCUAAGUUACUGUUGAGCGGAAGUGGUUUUUGUCUAUGAGCAAGUGAUUGUACCUAUGUGUGGUGUUAGGGUUUGGUUGGGUGCAAGAUAGUAGUAAUGCCCUGUUUGCAGCUUCUCAUGUACAGUAGGUGAGAGAGUGGGAUUGGUUGUCUUGCAUCAUAUUUUCAGAGAAACUCGUAUCAUUUUUCAGGAAGAAAAGAGAUCCAUCCAGGUAGCUGGGGAGCAAUAUCAUUGCCAUAUGGAUAUUUCAAUGUGCUCAUCAGCGCCUGACCUGAAGAUGGAUUCUGGGCCUGGUCAUCUCACUUGGAGAGGUUACAUCAUUGUGUUUGUUUUCGAGCCUUGUGGUUUACUCGCUCCCGAGCUUCCUCAAUAUUAUGAGCGAAUGUUGUAGAGAUGAUCGAACGGCACGAAUGUCCGUCGUGGAGAUGAUCGGACCAGCAAUGUUGGGAUUGCUUGCCCUCAUCCGAUCAAGAUGCACCUUGGAUUUCUAACACGUAGAAUUCAUUCUGAAGUUACACCUGAGCUGGCAAUCUGCAAAAUCUGUUAUUUAAUACUCCCUCCGCCCAAAAAAGUUUGUUCCUCAAAUGGAUGUAUCUAGCAUCAAGUUAGUGCUAGAUACAUCUAUUUGAGAAACAAGUUUGGGACAAGUUUUUUUUGGACGGAGGAAGCUCGGGAGCUGCAAAAUCUGUUUGGACGCUGCAAAAUCUGUUUGUUUAAUACCCAUUUGGACGUGAGGCAUCAGCAGGGACAAGGUCAGGAGGGCGCACGGAGGCUAAAAAUUCAGAGAGUUAUACUGUAAAUAUCCCGAUAAAUAAUCUGCAUAUACCGUAGAGGCUCUGAAAAAGAUGGCACCUAUCCUUCUGUAUCAAAUUAAACGACAGUUCAAGGCAUCCGUAGGCAAAGAUCAGACACUGCAACUAAGUACAGCAGGAGGUGAAUCAGACAAUUUUUCUAGAUCAAAUCAACACAAGGUUAGUUUCGGACUAAACAGAGUGAAUCAAGCUGUUAUAUUGAUGGAAUGAAGAAAUUUUUACCUUUGAUGCUGUAAACUCCAGACUAAAUAGCAUCUCACAGAAAAGAAUAGCUUUGCUUCACUAGUGCAGAUCAUUUCAACAUGACAGGAGCAAAGGAACAUAAACUGACAUGCUCUACUGUUCACUACAAUGACAAGAGGAAUAAAACAUAAAUUCCCCCCCAUGUUUUACUGCCCAUACAAUUACAUAGCUAACAUGCACAAUAAUACUCCCUCUAGUCCAAUAUGUAGUGCGCAUGGUUUGAGGCUCCAAGACCAAGGCAUGAUGUGCAGAUGUACUUCUAGACCAUAGUAACCCUGCAUGCACACUCUCCGUACAUAGGCAUGUGGAUGUGCUGCAUCUCCAGUGAAAAGCUAGGGGUAAUUCUUGUCCAAAGUGCUUCAUACUCACUACAUUGUGGAAUUCUUGCAAGAAACUAAUACGCACUAUAUAUAGGAAUGGAGGGAGUAUUCAACAUAGAAUACACAUACACUAUCUGUAAAAGAGGGCAUCCCUAAGUAGCCCAACACAACAAUCUGGACAUCACAAACAGCAGCCUUGGUACAAAUAAAUGGUAGCUCCAUAAAGUUAAAUAGCAAAGGCUGCUGCCCGUAUGCUGGUACCAACCAUAAACACAUAGUAUAUGUUUACACAAGACAAGCAGCUAGCACUACUAAGUUAACUGGAAC